This 82094-nucleotide long non-coding RNA is filed under the name Triticum aestivum (bread wheat). RNAcentral's name for it is "long non-coding RNA (TAES_LNC006518)". The stretch from base 25947 to 26061 matches the Rfam family "MIR1120/MIR1122 microRNA precursor family". The record is from RNAcentral. Lineage: Eukaryota; Viridiplantae; Streptophyta; Magnoliopsida; Poales; Poaceae.
GGUGAGGAUGAAAUGAAGAUGCAAGUAGCUGAAGGGUCGGUUUGCACUGAUGCUUAAGUGUAUGUAAGGGAUGGCACUCGGUAACCGAAUGUUGCGGAUGAAGAAUAUUGACUGCGGCAUGACUAAAUAUUGUCCUCAGGGUUGAUGGCUUAGUGACCUCUGAAGCUUCUGUUGCUGAUUCUCUGUUUCUACUAUGUACUGUAUUGUUCUGCUCAUCUGAGACCUGUAUCUGCUAUUUGAGGAGGAAACUUUGCGUGCCACGAUUCUAUCUUUCAUCGAAAACUUACAAGUCAUAUGUAAAACUUUGAGUGUAUCAUCAGUGAAUGGAUUUUCGGUUCAGGUUUUAAGAACCUCACUGAGUGGGAGCAAAUUGCUAUCUAGUUUUGUACUGCUUGUGUUUCAAAUUCAGGAGUGUGUAGAACUGUGUCAUGCAACGAUGUGGACGCAUAAAAAUUCUAUGUAUGUGUGAAAAUUCAGUAGGAGAUCCCAUGAUAAAAUAUCUCGUAACAAAGUUUUUUUUUUGAGCAGCUCGUACUACAUGUGGAUUUUUUUAAAGAAUAUAUUGAUACUUCUGAAUAUUGCCCUACGUAGCCAAAAUCUGUGUAUAGAUAUAUACUUUUUUUUGAAACUUAUAAACCCAGAUACUAUUUUAACAUGAGAAAACAUUAUAAUUCGGAUUGAGAGCUCUUGGGCCUUAGUACUGGGUUGUUGGGCUGCAGUCCCGGAAAUACAUGUAGCCCAGUCGACUUUCGUUGCCCAAAAGGCCCAGAAUAAACCGAUUCUCACUCGCGUGAAGCUUCUUCAUCUUCAGAGUCGCAUUCCACCCCACUUCCAUGCCGCCCUCGCCGUCGCGGCCGCCGCCGGCGGCGGAGGUCUCCGACGCUGAGAUGUCCGACGGAGAGGUACCGCCUCGCCAGGCUGCGGAGGACUUAGUCAGGGGAGCGGCGAACCGCGCCGCGCCGGGCUCGGCCGGCGAAGAGGACGAGGAGAUUUACGACGACGACGACGAGAGCUCCGAUUACAACUCCUACGACGACGGCGACGACGAAUCCGAUGAGAGCGGCUCGUACUACGAGGACCACGAGGAGGAGGAGGAGCGGGAGGGCGCCGGCGGGGACAGGGCCUCCGGGGGCGCGGAGGAGGAGGCUGCGUCGGCCGGCGUGGGCGGCGGCCCAAAGGCGGAGGGGAGUCCCCGGGCGGCGGCCACCUGCUGCAUCUGCAUGGAUCCCUGGGCCUCCUACGGCGCUCACCGCAUCUGGUACAUUUCACCACAUCUGGGCAUCCUUCACUGAAUAAAUUCCUCGUUGUCUCUGAAGAAAAAUCUGUGCUUGAUGCAGCUGCAUUCCAUGUGGACAUGUCUACGGCAGAUCCUGCUUGGAGAGGUGGCUACGCCGCGGCGGCAACACCAGCGCCAAGGUACUACGGCACAUGAUCAUCAUUAAUUUAGCAUCAAUCUUGCAGACUGCAGAUGUGUUCAUGGGAGGCUGCUUACUUAGCAAUUUACCAUGCUCGUGUUCAUUUGGAGUUCCUUGCUAAGCUACUUUUACCUGUUCACAGUGCCCUCAGUGCAGUGAAAGGUUCAAGCACAGGCACAUCAUCAAUCUCUACUCGUCGGUGCAUCUCUGGAACGAUUGCUACCUCAAAGAGGUUGCCGUUUCUCUGCUUGGUCCUCUGUUAUAUCGCUUCUGUUCAUUGAAGGUUCUGCCUCAAAGAGAUACAACCAAGAGUUACAUUGUCGAGUAUUCCAUCUCUAGUUCUUAGACUUUAUGUCAUGGGAUGGAUAUGCGCGGCACUGCACUUUUUAGCUUAUGUCCAAAUUAGUACUAUCUUGCAUUUCCUCUGCCAUUUCCCGGUCUCAAUUGUUAGAUUGUUACUGGUAUUUUGAAAUGAAGUACUGUAGUUGGUUGUGGACUGAAAUUGGUGGCGAAAAACAUACUACAAAAUAAUUUACACCGCAUGCCUAUUUUUUAUGUUAUAUAUGUCUGAUUAUGGAUUGGCAACGGCCUUAUCGAGACAUCAUCCAUUCCCACUCUCAGAUCCGAGCUCAAAGUACGAGUUCAAGUUCUUCUGUACACCCUCGUCCACAUGCUAUUUCAGUUAGGAUCUCCCAACUCGAGGUUAGCUCUCCUCCAUUCAUCCUUGCCGAUCCUUACAUGCCUGCAUUGCAAUGAUGAUGAGAUUGCGAUUACAUGUUGUAGGCCCGGAUGGAGGAAGAAAGGAGGCUACGGGAGGAAGCCAUGAGAAGGCAAGAGGAGAGGAUAGCGGCACAGAAUCAAUUCUUCGAGGAGAGGAUGGCGGCACAGAAUCAACUCUUCGAGGAGAGGAUGGAGGCACAGAGUCAAUUCUUCAAGGAGCAAAGGGCGGCACAGCGUCAAGACAUCGAGGAGAGCAGGGCGGCACAUAAUCAAUUAUUGGAGGAGAGGAUGAGUCAAGCCAUCAAGGAGAGCAGGGCGGCACAGAAUCAAUUCUUUGAGGAGAGGAUGGCGGCACUGAGUCUAGCCUUCAAGGAGAUGCUGGCGGCACAGAGUCAAGCCAUCGAGGAGAGGAUUAGUCAAGGCAUCAAGGAGAGGUUGGAGGCAGAACGAGCUCUCUACCAGGAGCAAUUCCAGGUUAAUUCUUGCCCAUAAUAGUCAAGAGGGAGUGUUAGUUUCAUUACAAACCUUCGUCUUUGCUACAGUAUGUAACCUUGCCACCUUGAAAAUAAUAUGCAGAGUCCUUAUGCUCUCCACGGCAGAAGUCCGCCAUCGAUGCCAAGCCUUCCUCCUCCACGUGCUCCACACACUCAUGUGAUCGAGCUCUCUUCAUACCUUUCAAUCGCCAUUACUGCCUGCCCUUCCUAGCAUAUAUAGAGAGUUGUGCUUACUAUCUCAUGCUUACAGACGCAUCUAUCAGCUAGAUCGAAUGACCCGGGAGGUGGUACAUCCGCACAUGGUCAAGGAAGCUCAAGCACCCAUCAUGAUGGUGGUACUCCAAGGUUUUCGACUCGACGAGUCGUUCUGGGGUACGAGUCGUGCUGUGCCGCUCUACUAGACGACGACCCCCAUGAAUUUUUUAGCAAUGCUAUCAAUCACACAUAUACAUUGCCAAACCUUGUCAACUUACGGUAACAACUCUGUGGACGCAUCUGAUUCAGCUAUCAUUCUGAUCGUAGGGGACCGCUGAACUCCUAUUCAGCUGUCAUUCUGAUCGUAGGGCACCGCUGAACUCCUGGACAAGGUUUGCCGGUAUGCGAGAACCAGAUGCAACAAUACACGCUCUGCGUUGAAAAGCGGCUCAAGGAUAAGGUUGAGCAGCCGAAGGAGUGUAUGGAGCUGAUACCAAGAAAUCAGAGCAUGUCGCACACCGAUGUCAUGAACUUCAUGUUACAGAACUGGCCUGAGCCUUCUCUCCAGUUAUCCAGCUUCCGACGGCGGACUGAUCCACAAGUGGUAUCUAUCAGCCGGCUGGUCAAUUGCUGAAACUUGUGCACACACAUUUCCUCUUUCCACUGGAGUAGUUAGUAUCUGUGAUAUGUGGAUAUACACCUUCCUCUGCUCUGCCCAUUUCACGGGAAACCGGCAUGAAUGCGAUAGUUGGCUGCACUACUCUCCUGGAUUAAUGCGAAAGCAAUCUCUUGUGGCUCUGCUCUGCAUAAAUUUUUGGCCAGAGAUUGUGCUUUGGUGUUAAGAGCAUUUCCAGCCGUUCGGCCUCAUAGGGGCUAGAAAAAAGCACCAUCUGGGGAUGAACCGGUGAUAACUUCGGCGUGGGGCCGAUCGGGUUCUUAGCCGCCGCCCUCAGGUCGCCCACAGACGCCCUUUUUUGAAAAGGAAAUCGGCCAAACAUGACAUAAAAUUCGUCCAAACUCAACGAUUUCAUUUAUAUUUGUACAAAAACUAAAAAACAUAAAUUAAAACUAACUAAAAACGACAUUACUACGUCGUCGCCCGCUUUCUACAUGCCAAGGAGCCUAUAGAACCGGGUGUAGUCGCCGCCGCCGUCCCUGCUGCACCCCUGACCAGCGUCGCCGAUGCGCGGGGGUUUGGACGACCCGGGCGCCUCCUCGUCGUCGCUGUCGACGAUGACACGCUGCCGUCCUCACGUCCGCGGCGCCGAGAUUUGAUCUUCUCGAAGGCCCGGUGCUGGCGCUCCAUCUACUCGCAUAUGUAGUCCACCUUUGCCCACUUGAGGGUGGUCUCUUGUCGGCGGCCAUGGCCUCAUGCUCCUUCUUCACGGGGAGCAAACCCGGCUCGGUCUACGGUCUGACGAGUCGGUAGGAAGAAGGAGAGGGGUGGCCGCCCUCGUUGAUGACGAGGGUGUCGCCGUGUGUGCGGCGCCCAAGCGGCGUCUCCGGCUUGACGGGGCGGAGCGCCGGCGAACCGGAGGAAAGAGAGCCAGAGCCCGACGAUGAGAAGGUCGCCGUCUCCAUUCGCCGUGGCGUCCAGGAACUACUGCGGCGGCGAGAGAAGGACGGGGGCGCCGGGUACUCCAGGCGCGGCGUGUUGCCGGCCUCGAUGUGCUUGAGGACGGCUUCGAGGGUGCAGCCGAGCACGCCCCACCAUUCGUGCCGCCCGUCGGAGUUGAGGCGGCCGAGGGGCAGGACGCCGUUUGUGAAGGUGACCUGGUCGGCGUGACGGUGGUCGAAGUACAUCGUCCACAGCGUGUGGCUGUCGGCGACGUACCUUGGCUCGUUCCGCUUCUUCUCCGACAAUGACGACCAGAUGCACGCUUUCUCGGCACGCCGUUCAACACCGGUGGACGCGGGUGGCACCGGGACACCGGCGGCGCUCAGCCUCCACGAGCCCGGGACCCGCAUGUCUGGGGGUGCCGGGUAGUCGGCGCCGUAGAGGAGGCGCGCCUCGUCCUCACUCAGAUGGCGGCGGCCGAUGCUGUUCGCGUCCGCGCCGUUGCCUAGGAAGCGCUCGGCCAUUGCCUGUCGACGGGGGCCUAGAGGGGAAGCAAGGGGCGUCGGAGAAGUCGGCGACGAGAGGGGUGUCGGUGGCAAGGGCUUGUGCGUUCACCGACGAGGAGGUUGGCUUUUAUAGCCGUGGAUGGGUGGUAAGACGGCUGCCGCCAUGUGCCGCGUGGCGGGAGAGGACUGGACAUGCGUCAUCGCGGCUUCACUGCGCUGCCCGUGAGACAUCAAUGAAAGGUUGACCGGCGUGGCAGCGCGACAUCCUUGACAUUGAUUCCCACGGGAACCGAGGCAAUGAGGACGACUGUGACGCCCUCGAUUCAAUCGUACACUAAUCAUACACGCAAAUGUGUACGAUCAAGAUCAAGGAGUCACGGGAAGAUAUCACAACACAAAUCUAGACACAAAUUAAAAUAAUACAAGCUUUAUAUUACAAGCCAGGGGCCUCGAGGGCUCGAAUACAUAAGCUCGAAUACACAAGAGUCAGCGGAAACAACAAUAUCUGAGUACAGACAUAAGUUAAACAAGUCUGCCUUAAGAAGGCUAGCACAAAAGCAACAACGAUCGAAAAGGCAAGGCCUCCUGCCUAGGAGCCUCCUAACUACUCCAAGUCGUCAGCGGACGACACGUAGUAGUAGGCAUCCUCGGGGUAGCAGUAGUCAUCAGUGGUGUCGUCUGACUCCUGGGAUCCGUCAUCUGGUCGCAACAAUCGGGUAUGGGAGAAAAGAGGUAGCAAAGCAACCGUGAGUACUCAUCCAAAGUACUCGCAAGACUUACAUCAGAUCUAAACUAAGUAUGCAUCUGUAUCAAAGGAAAUGGGCUAUAUCUGUGGACUAAACUGCAGAAUGCCAGAAAGAAGGGGAAAGCCUAGCCUAUCGAAGACUAGCAUCUUCAAGCAUCUUGCAGCAUAUAGAAGAGUAUAGAUCAACAUAAUGUAAAGUAGUAGUGUUAUCAACCUCGGCCAGAGAUCCUUUCUCGACUCCCUGUGAGAAAGCAAUCCCAGAGCCAUACUAUCCAUUUCUCAUCGCAAUCCAUUUCUCAUAUCCAUUUCUCAUAUCAAGUAUCCAGUUAUAGUUGUAUCGAUCGGGAUACAACUCCAAGUGUCCGUUACCGUAGGACAGGCUAUCAAUAGAUGUUUUCUUCCCUGCAGGGGUGCACCAACUUACCCACCACGCUCGAUUAACUCUGGCCGGACACACUUUCCCGGGUCAUGCCCGGCCUCGGCCAAACAAUACGUCGCAACCCGACCUAGGCUUAAUAAAGAGGUCAGCACGUCGGACUAAACCUAUGCCCCCAGGGGUCAUGGGCCAUCUCCCCGGGAACUCUUGCACGUUGCGUACGCGGCCGGUGAGCAGACCUAGCUACCUCCUUCAAAAAGGCAGGUGCUUACCAGUCCAACCCAGCGCGCGCCGCUCAGUCGCUGACGUCUAUUAAGCUUCGACUGAUGCAUACGACGCAUAACGCCCAUACUAUGCCCACGUGAUGGUUAGUGCUAUCAGGCCAGAGGCCCCUCAGAUCAAAUAUCCAAAUCGUAGUGGAUUAGGAGCAUGCGGUAACAAGCAGAGACUCGCGAAAGAUGUGACCCCAUUGCCCCGUCUCGAGUACUUGCGGCAAGGGCUAAGAAUGCCCGGUCACGCCUCGUAAGUAUCUCGCGGGCACCUUCCAGGUAAACCCGACUCCACAUCACUCGCUAUUAAGCUCGCGCGGGUACCCCUCAGGGCCGAUCCGUCUUUAGUAACAUGGUUCAGUGUAAAGUCAUAGUAACCAUAGUAACUGUGUGUCUAACACUAAGGGGAAAACCCGAGGAAUCACCCCCAGUGAAUUCCACUUGAUGUUAUCAUCAAGGUGAACGUAAGAGGAUCCACCCUCGAGGUUCACACUUGAGGGGUUGCACGACAGAGCCGUAACAGAAGUGGUUAAGGAGGAAAUCACCCUCGAUGACCUCGACCGUUUAGCUACAUGAUACGUCUCCAACGUAUCUAUAAUUUUUGAUUGUUCCAUGCUAUUAUAUUAUCAACUUUGGAUGUUUAUGGGCUUUAUUAUACACUCUUAUAUUAUUUUUGGGACUAACCUAUUAACCUAGAGCCCAGUGCCAGUUUCUGUUUUUUCCCUUGUUUUAGAGUAUCGCAGAAAAGGAAAAUCAAACGGAGUCCAAUUGACCUGAAACUUCACGGAACUUAUUUUUGAAAGGAAAGCAACCCGGGAGACUUGGAGUCCAUGUAAGGGAAGCAACAAGGAGGCCACGAGGCAGGGGGGCGCGCCCACCCCCUGGGCGGGCCCUCCACCCUCGUGGGCCCCUCGUGGCUUCCCUGGCGUACUUCUUCCGUCUAUAUAUCUCCAUAUACCCUAAAAACAUCCGGGAGCACAAUAGAUCAGGAGUUCCCUCGCCAGAAGCCUCCGUAGCCACCGAAAGCCAAUCUAGACCCGUUCCGGCACCCUGCCGGAGGGGGAAUCCCUCUCCGGUGGCCAUCUUCAUCAUCCCGGUGCUCUCCAUGACGAGGAGGGAGUAGUUCUCCCUCGAGGCUGGGGGUAUGUACCAGUAGCUAUGUGUUUGAUCUCUCUCUCUCUCGUGUUCUUGAGGUGAUACGAUCUUGAUGUAUCGCGAGCUUUGCUAUUAUAGUUGGAUCCUAUGAUGUUUCCCCCCUCUACUCUCUUGUAAUGGAUUGAGUUUCCCCUUUGAAGUUAUCUUAUCUGAUUGAGUCUUUAAAGAUUUGAGAACACUUGAUGUAUGUCUUGCCGUGCAUAUCUGUGGUGACAAUGGGAUACCACAUGAUUCACUUGAUGUAUGUUUUGGUGAUCAACUUGCGGGUUCUGCCCAUGAACCUAUGCAUAGGGGUUGGCACACGUUUUCGUCGUGAUUCUCCGAUAGAAACUUUGAUUCACUCUUUGAGGUUCUAUGUGUUGGUUGAAUAGAUGAAUCUGAGAUUGUGUGAUGCAUAUCGUAUAAUCAUACCCACAGAUACUUGAGGUGACAUUGGAGUAUCUAGGCGACAUUAGGGUUUUGGUUGAUUUGUGUCUUAAGGUGUUAUUCAAGUACGAACUCUAGGGUUGUUUGUGACACUUAUAGGAAUAGCCCAACAGAUUGAUUGGAAAGAAUAACUUUGAGGUGGUUUCAUACCCUACCAUAAUCUUUUCGUUUGUUCUCCGCUAUUAGUGACUUUGGAGUGACUCUUUGUUGCAUGUUGAGGGAUAUAGUUAUGUGAUCCAAUUAUGUUAUUAUUGUUGAGAGGACUUGCACUAGUGAAAGUAUGAACCCUAGGCCUUGUUUCAAAGCAUUGCAAUACCGUUUACGCUCACUUUUAUCAUUCGUUACCUUGAUGUUUUUAUAUUUUCAGAUUACAAAAACUAUUAUCUACCAUCCAUAUACCACUUGUAUCACCAUGUCUUCGCCGAACUAGUGCACCUAUACAAUUUACCAUUGUAUUGGGUGUGUUGGGGACACAAGAGACUCUUUGUUAUUUGGUUGCAGGGUUGCUUGAGAGAGACCAUCUUCAUCCUACGCCUCCUACGAAUUGAUAAACCUUAGGUCAUCCACUUGAGGGAAAUUUGCUACUGUCCUACAAACCUCUGCACUUGGAGGCCCAACAAUGUCUACAAGAAGAAGGUUGUGUAGUAGACAUCAAGCUCUUUUCUGGCGCCGUUGCCGGGGAGGUGAGUGCUUGAAGGUGUAUCUUUAGAUCUUGCAAUCAAAUCUUUUUGUUUCUUGUUUUAGCACUAGUUUAGUUUAUAAAAGAAAACUACAAAAAUAUGGAAUUGAGUUUUGUCUCAUACGCUUCAUCUUUUUAGUAUCUUUCGUGAGUAUGAUGGAAAGGAAAAUUGUGCUCAAGUGCUAGAGGAAGAAGUCUAUAAAAUGUUUGGCACUAAAUCUUUGAAUGAUGAGCAUGAUUGCAAUGUUGUUAGUACGAAUUCUUUGAAUAUCCAUGAUACUAAUGAUGAUUGCACUAGUUAUGAUUUCUCCUAUAAACAUGUCAAUUUUUGUGGAGUGAUUGGGUUUGCAAGUACACACCAAAUAGGGAAGAUAGAUAUUGCAAGAGGCAUAAGUACUUAGAAACUAAAUUGUUGCAAGAAAUGCUAGAGGUUUGUGCCAAAGAUUUAAAUUUUCCUGGCCACCCUUGUGAAUUUUGCAAUGAACAUGGUCAUUUAACUAUCCGAUGCAAAUUGUUUCAUGAUCUAAUCAUGUCCAAAAAUUGUGAUGACUUGAUUUCCCUUGCACAUCAUAAUGAACUUAGUUUGCUCUUGGGUUAUGAAGAAAUGAAACGUAUAACUAAGGAUAUUCCAAAAUUUGCCCUUGAUAGAGUUCUUCAUUUUGAUCUAGAGCAAAUUUAUAUGUAUUGUGCGGUGAAUUGCAUUGAAAAUCCUUAUAUUGCCAAUUACAUAAAUAAAAGAAAACAACUAGAGGAUGAAGAGAAUACUAACGAAAGGGAAGAGACUUCCCAAUAUUUUCCUAUUAUUUCUUAUGAUAAAUCAGGUAACGAGGAGGAGCCUUAUAUUCAACCAAUUUCAUUAAUAAGGAGCUACAAAAAGAGGAUUGAACCCACACAUGAUGUGGUGAAGAAGAAGAAAAGAAAAAGGAAGAGAGGUAAAAAGAUAUCUCUCCCAAAUAAUGCUGCUCCUAUUACUAUUGUGCCUCAUGAAAAUAUAAUUGUGGAUGAUAAUGAUACUUCUUAUGAUCUUGAAAAUCUUUUUGGCACUUGCUUGGAAGAAUAUGAUAAUUACUAUACUAUUGGUGCUAUCCAUACUAUUAAUGAUGAGAGUGAUUAUGCUUAUGAUAUGAAAAGGCCCAAGCUUGGGGAUGCUAUGUUUGAUGAAGAUGAUGUUUUUGAGAAUAUAUUUGCUACAACUAAUGUUUGUCCCAAGCUUGGGGAUGCUACGUUUAUGAAGAUGAUAUUUUUUUGUCCCCCAAGUUUUGAUGAGCAAAUUUAUUAAGAUGAAAGCAUGCCUACUAUAUAUGAUGAUUAUUGUGAUGACACGUAUGCUUUAAAGAAUAAUGAUAACAAUGAAACUUGUCAUCUUGAUUUCACUUUUCAAUCCCAUGGUAGUUAUUUUGUUGAGUUUUCUCCCACUACUAUUCAUGAGAAGAAGUUUGCUUAUGUGGAGAGUAGUCAAUUUUCUAUGCUUGUUGAUCAUGAAAAGAAUGCUUUAGGUGCUGGUUAUAUUGUUGAAUUCAUUCAUGAUGCUACUGAAAAUUAUUAUGAGGGAGGAACAUAUACUCGUAGGAAUUGCAAUAAUACCAAGUUUCCUCUCUAUGUGCUUAAAAUUUUGAAGUUAUGCUUGUUUUACCUUCCUAUGCAAGUUGAUUCUUGUUCCCACAAGUUGUUUGCUCACAAAAUCCCUAUGCAUAGGAAGUGGACUAGACUUAAAUGUGCUAGUCAUAUUCUUCAUGAUUCUCUCUUUAUGUUUCAAUUCUUAUCCUUUAUGUGAGCAUCAUUGAAAUCAUCAUGCCUAGCUAGGGGCGUUAAACGAUAGCGCUUGUUGGGAGACAACAACAAACAACAACAACAACAACAAAGCCUUUAGUCCCAAACAAGUUGGGAGACAACCCAACUUUAUUUUUGUUCCUUGCUUUUUUUGCUCCUGUUUAGUAAUAAAUAAUUCAUCUAGACUCUGUUUAGAUGUGGUUUUAUGUUUUAAUUAGUGUUUUUGCCAAGUAGAACCAGUGGGAAGACUUGGGGAAAGUCUUGUUGAUCUUGCUGUAAAAAAACAUAAACUUUAGCGCUCACGAGAAUUACUGCCAUUUUUUAUUGGAAAGUGCUAUUUAGUUAAUUAUUUUUGCAGAUUAUUAAUAGACAAAUUACUCACGUCCAGAAAUUUAUUUUAGAAUUUUUGGGGUUCCAGAAGUUUGCGUUUGAUACAGAUUACUACAGACUGUUCUGUUUUUCGUGUGUUGUUUGUUUAUUUUGAUGAAUGUAUGGCUAGUAAAAUAGUUUAUAAACCAUAAAGAAGUUGGAAUACAGUAGUUUUAACACCAAUAUAAAUAAAGAAUGAGUUCAUUACAGUACCUUGAAGUGGUGUUUUGUUUUCUUUUGCUAACGGAGCUCACCAGUUUUCUACUUUAAGUUUUGUGUUGUGAAGUUUUCAAGUUUUGGGUCAAGAUUCGAUGGACUAUGGAAUAAGGAGUGGCAAGAGCCUAAGCUUGGGGAUGUCCAAGGCACCGCAAGGUAAUAUUCAAGGACAACUAAGAGCCUAAGCUUGGGGAUGCCCCGGAAGGCAUCCCCUUUUUCGUCUUCGUUCAUCGGUAACUUUACUUGGAGCUAUAUUUUUAUUCGCCACAUGAUAUGUGUUUUGCUUGGGGCGUCAUUUUAUUUUAUUUAGCUUUGCUUAAUUUUUGAAUAAAAUACCAAGAUCUGAAAUUAUUAAAUGUUAGAAAGUCUUCAUAUAGUUGCAUAAUUAUUCGACUACUCAUUGAUCUUCACUUAUAUCUUUCGGAGUAGUUUGUCGUUUGGUCUAGUGCUUCACUUAUAUCUUUUUAGAGCACGGUGGUGGUUUUAUUUUAUAGAAAUAGAUGAACUCUCAUGCUUCACUUAUAUUAUUUUGAGAGUCUUUAGAACAACAUGGUAAUUUGCUUUGGUUAUGAAUUUAGUCCUAAUAUGAUGGGCAUCCAAGAGGGGUAUAAUAAAAACUUUCAUAUAGAGUGCAUUGAAUACUAUGAGAAGUUUGAUACUUGAUGAUUGUUUUGAGAUAUGAGGAUGGUAAUAUUAGAGUCAUGCUAGUUGAGUAGUUGUGAAUUUGAGAAAUACUUGUGUUGAAGUUUGUGAUUCCCGUAGCAUGCACGUAUGGUGAACCGUUAUGUGAUGAAGUCGGAGCAUGAUUUAUUUAUUGAUUGUCUUCCUUAUGAGUGGCAGUCGGGGAUGGGCGAUGGUCUUUUCCUACCAAUAUAUCCCCCUAGGAGCAUGCGCGUAGUACUUUGUUUCGAUAACUAAUAGAUUUUUGCAAUAAGUAUGUGAGUUCUUUAUGACUAAUGUUGAGUCCAUGGAUUAUACACACUCUCACCCUUCCACCAUUGCUAGCCUCUCUAGUACCGUGCAACUUUCGCCGGUACCAUAAACACACCAUUUACCUUCCUCAAAAUAGCCACCAUAAGUACCUAUUAUGGCAUUUCCAUAGCCAUUCCGAGAUAUAUUGCCAUGCAACUUUCCACCAUUCCGUUAUUAUGACACGCUUCAUCAUUGUCAUAUUGCUUUGCAUGAUCAUGUAGUUGACAUCGUAUUUGUGGCAAAGCCACCGUUAAUAAUUCUUUCAUACAUGUCACUCAUGCAUCAUUGCACAUCCCGGUACACCGCCGGAGGCAUUCAUAUAGAGUCAUAUCUUGUUCUAAAUAUCGAGUUGUAAUUCUUGAGUUGUAAGUAAAUAAAAGUGUGAUGAUCAUCAUUAUUAGAGCACUGUCCCGGUGAGGAAAGGAUGAUGGAGACUAUGAUUCCCCCACAAGUCGGGAUGAGACUCCAGAUGAAAAUAAAUAAAUAAAAGAGGCCAAAGAAGCCCAAAAAAGAAGGCUCAAAUAAAAAAAAUAAAAAAAUGAGAGAAAAAGAGAGAAGGGGCAAUGCUACUAUCCUUUUACCACACUUGUGCUUCAAAGUAGCACCACGAUCUUCAUGAUAGAGAGUCUCCUAUGUUGUUACUUUCAUAUACGGGUGGGAAUCUUUCAUUGUAGAACUUGGCUUGUAUAUUCCAAUGAUGGGCUUCCUCAAAAUGCCCUAGGUCUUCGUGAGCAAGCGAGUUGGAUGCACACCCACUAGUUUCUUUUGUUGAGCUUUCAUACAUUUAUAGCUCUAGUGCAUCCGUUGCAUGACAAUCCCUACUCACUCACAUUGAUAUCUAUUGAUGGGCAUCUCCAUAGCCCGUUGAUACGCCUAGUUGAUGUGAGACUAUCUUCUCCUUUUUUGUCUUUCCCACAACCACCAUUCUAUUCCACCUAUAGUGCUAUGUCCAUGGCUCACGCUCAUGUAUUGCGUGAAGAUUGAAAAAGUUUGAGAACAUCAAAAGUAUGAAACAAUUUCUUGGCUUGUCAUCGGGGUUGUGCAUGAUUUAAAUAUUUUGUGUGGUGAAGAUGAGGCAUAGCCAGACUAUAUGAUUUUGUAGGGAUAGCUUUCUUUGGCCAUGUUAUUUUGAGAAGACAUGAUUGCUUAGUUAGUAUGCUUGAAGUAUUAUUGUUUUUAUGUCAAUAUUAAACUUUUGUCUUGAAUCUUAUGGAUCUGAAUAUUCAUGCUACAAUAAAGAGAAUUACUUAGAGAAAUAUGUUAGGUAGCAUUCCACAUCAAAAAUUCUGUUUUUAUCAUUUACCUACUCGAGGACGGGCAGUAAUUAAGCUUGGGGAUGCUAAUACGUCUCCAACGUAUCUAUAAUUUUUGAUUGUUCCAUGCUAUUAUAUUAUCAACUUUGGAUGUUUAUGGGCUUUAUUAUACACUUUUAUAUUAUUUUUGGGACUAACCUAUUAACCUAGAGCCCAGUGCCAGUUUCUGUUUUUUUCCUUGUUUUAGAGUAUCGCAGAAAAGGAAAAUCAAACGAAUUCCAAUUGACCUGAAACUUCACGGAACUUAUUUUUGGAAGGAACGCAAUCCAGGAGACUUGGAGUCCACGUAAGGGAAUCAACGAGGAGGCCACGAGGCAGGGGGCGUGCCCACCCCCCUGGGCGCGCCCUCCACCCUCAUGGGCCCCUCGUGGCUCCUCUGACGUACUUCUUCCGCCUAUAUAUCUCCAUAUACCCUAAAAAUAUCCGGGAGCACAAUAGAUCAGGAGUUCCGCCGCCAGAAGCCUCCAUAGCCACCGAAAGCCAAUCUAGACCCGUUUCGGCACCCUGCCGGAGGGGGAAUCCCUCUCCGGUGGCCAUCUUCAUCAUCCUGGUGCUCUGCAUGACGAGGAGGGAGUAGUUCUCCCUCGGGGCUGAGGGUAUGUACCAGUAGCUAUGUGUUUGAUCUCUCUCUCUCUCUCUCUCUCUCUCUCUCUCUCUCGUGUUCUUGAGGUGAUACGAUCUUGAUGUAUCGCGAGCUUUGCUAUUAUAGUUGGAUCCUAUGAUGUUUUCCCCCUCUACUCUCUUGUAAUGGAUUGAGUUUCCCCUUUGAAGUUAUCUUAUCGGAUUGAGUCUUUAAAGAUUUGAGAACACUUGAUGUAUGUCUUGCCGUGCGUAUCUGUGGUGACAAUGGGAUACCACGUGAUUCACUUGAUGUAUGUUUUGGUGAUCAACUUGCUGGUUCCGCCCAUGAACCUAUGCAUAGGGGCUGGCACACGUUUUCGUCAUGAUUCUCUGGUAGAAACUUUGGGGCACUCUUUGAGGUUCUAUGUGUUGGUUGAAUAGAUGAAUCUGAGAUUGUGUGAUGCAUAUCGUAUAAUCAUACCCACGGAUACUUGAGGUGACAUUGGAGUAUCUAGGUGACAUUUGGGUUUUGGUUGAUUUGUGUCUUAAGGUGUUAUUCUAGUAUGAACUCUAGGGCUGUUUGUGACACUUAUAGGAAUAGCCCAAUGGAUUGAUUGGAAACAAUAACUUUGAGGUGGUUUCGUACACUACCAUAAUCUCUUCGUUUGUUCUCCGCUAUUAGUGACUUUGGAGUGACUCUUUGUUGCAUGUUGAGGGAUAGUUAUGUGAUCCAAUUAUGUUAUUAUUGUUGAGAGGACUUGCACUAGUGAAAGUAUGAACCCUAGGCCUUGUUUCAAAGCAUUGCAAUACCGUUUACGCUCACUUUUAUCAUUCGUUACCUUGAUGUUUUUAUAUUUUCAGAUUACAAAAACUAUUAUCUACCAUCCAUAUACCACUUGUAUCACCAUGUCUUCGCCGAACUAGUGCACCUAUACAAUUUACCAUUGUAUUGGGUGUGUUGGGGACACAAGAGGCUCUUUGUUAUUUGGUUGCAGGGUUGCUUGAGAUAGACCAUCUUCAUCCUACGCCUCCUACGGAUUGAUAAACCUUAGGUCAUCCCCUUGAGGGAAAUUUGCUACUGUCCUACAAACCUCUGCACUUGGAGGCCCAACAACAUCUACAAGAAGAAGGUUGUGUAGUAGACAUCACUACGCUAUAGAGAUCUCAUCAGGAGUGAUGUAAGAGGUUCCACCCUCGGCACUCAAUGGUAACUCUUCAGUGUCAUACAACUAGGGGGGUGAUGUGCGGUGUCGGGGCCUGGACAUCGAUCACGUGAUCGAGUCAUCGAACAUAAAGCGGGGCAACUAGGACAAGGUGGGGGUCACUGAUGGAUCACUAACCAACCUAUACUAAGCAGUUUAGGAUAAGCAGGUAAGGUAUGAAAGCAGGUAACAAAAACAGGCUAUGCAUCAGAGUAGGAUCAUACAUAAAGCAGUAGCAGUUCUAAUGCAAGCAUGAGAGGGAAAGAAAUGGGCGAUAUCGAAAUGCUCAAGGGGGUUUGCUUGCCUGGUCGCUCAGACGAGAAGGAGGGGUCAUCGGUCAUAGGGGCAUCUGCAUCGUCACGGGGUCUACCGAAGAGAAGAGGGGGGAGAAACAGUAAAUAUAUAGCAAGCAAGUGCAUAACAGGACAACAGGCAGAGCUAGACGUGUUCUAGCGCGGUGCUACACGAUACCGGUGAAAGGGGAAGUCAACCGGGAAUGUUUUCCCGGUUUCGGACCUAUGUUAGACAGAUGACCGGAGGGGGAAUGAUCCAUGUUCAGAUAGUUAGAGGCAUCUGACAAGUAAACGGACCGCGUAUUCGGAUUCGUCUCGUCGUUCCGAGCAACAUUCAUAUAUAAAGUUUUUUCGAUCCGAGCUACGGUUAAUUUUCUAUGAUUUUUCAAAGUUUUUGCAAUAUUCUGAAAUUAUUAAUAAUUCGAAAUUAAAAGCUAAAAAGCUAGAUGCACCCAGCAUAGUGUACACCAAAGUGUACCCAGUGGCUGACAGGUGGACCAGGGGGUCCCUAUUGACCAGUCAGGGCUUGGGGCCACCCUGUCAUUGAGACUUCUACUAACUAGUAGUUUUAAUUAGUUAAACUAGGUAAUUAGCCUAAUUAAACAGUAUUAAUAUAAUUAAUUAUUAGUUAUUAUUAUUUUAAUAUAACUUUUUUCAAAACUUUUUUUAACAGGGCAGUGGGGCCCGUAUGCCAGUGGCCCGAGGGCUUAGUGGGCACGGCGCUAUUGGGCAUGGGCGCCAUGCCCGGGCGAGGCCGUUGCCUCGACGAGGCCAGCAGGGAGCAUCGGCACGGCGCGGUCGACGGCCACAUUCGGCCGGAGCAGGCGUGGCGGCGGGGGUGUGGCGAGGCACGGCGCGGGGCAGAAGCGGGGCAGUGGCACAGUGCAGGUCGAGCGCGCGGUAGUAGUACGCGUGCGGGCUGGCGGGAGGCAUGGCGGCAACGACGAUCGGAGCUAGCGGAGGCGGGGCGGGCUGCGCGGCUAGGACGGGCGCGCGCGGUGCGGAUGCGGCCGGGCGCCGGGGAGUAGCAGUACGGGCGUGGCGUGAUGCAGCAGUAGCUGUAGGCGGCGCCGAGAUGAGUGACGAGCGUCGAGCGGGGCCAGCGGGCCUGAUGCGGCUACAGGCGAAGGCGGCCGGCGCAAGGAGAAGGUGUGGGCGGCGGAGCGCUGGCCAGCGCGGAGCUGCAGCAGGCGGCGGCAGCAGGAGAAGGCGGGCACGGACAACAGGUAGGCGGCAGCAGCAGCGGCAGGACGGGACGACCGGCAGCGCAGCAGGGACAGGAGCGCGGCGGGGCGCACGGGGCUGCGGCAGGGGUGCGCAGCAGCGCGUGGGCGCCGGCGAGAUGCGAGCGGUCAGGCAGGGAACGGCCGGAGUGGCAGCAACAGCGACGUGCAACGGCGUCGGAGGCGGUCGGGCUUGGCAACGCGGGGAGGCUAGCUAGGGGGCCGGACGUGCGCGAGCUAGAGGAGGGAAAGGGAGGAUCAGGAUCUCACCGGGGAGGCACACGGGGGCCCAGUGGCGGCUUAGUAGCAGUAGGGACGGCCGGAGAUGGUGACGACGUGCGUCGGCCCGAGGAGGAAGACGGGUGAAUCGAUGGCUCGGUGGCGCUCCAACUCAAAUCCGCGCGCAUAGUGGACGAAGACGAGACGCAGAAGCUCCUGGACGUCCUUCCUUGGCUCAGGGUGGCUCCAGUGCAUGUGGACAACGACGGUCUUCGUGGAUGCAACGGCGAGGCGAGAGGUGCCCGGUGGCCAUGGCAGAGUGAGGCGAGCGGCAACGACCGCGCUCGGCGAUGGAUCUGGAGGAGGGGACGAGUGCGUGGGUGAGAGAGAGAGCGAGGGGGCACAAGUGACGAGGGUGAGUGGAGGGGAGGGCUCGAGGCGUCGAGGGGACGGCGCCCUUAUCCCCUCGAGGCGGUUCCAACGAGCUGGUCGGACGGGGACGCGCCCCUGUAGCGAUUGCGCAAGGAGAACAGGGAGGUGGGUGCAGGGACAUGGUGGGCCGGUUGUGGCCAACCCAUGGGGUUAGGGGCCAGAUGGCCCAGUUAGCCUGGGGUUUUCCUUUUAACUCUUUAUUUCUUUUUUUGUGUGCUGUUUUAUUUUGUUUUAUUUAUUUUCACCAUUAACUUAGUUUAAGUAUAAUGCAAAACUAGUUUCUAAACUAGUAUUACUAUUUAUAGCUCUGCCAUAAAAAGCUUCGUACUCUAAUAAAUUAUUUUAUUAUUUCAAAAUUAUAAAAUGCAUUUACAUAAUUGUUUAAGCCACUAUUUUAUUCACAAAAGGCCAUUUAAAUACCUUACAGAAGUGUUGGGUCACCACCAUAAUUAGUUAUGGAAUAUUUGGCACAAUUUGAACAUUUUAUUUUGCAUGUUUGAGAAAUUUGAAUUUUGGACUAUUAUUUUAAAUUUGAAUUUGGAUUGUGAUUUGGAUCAAAUGAAGAUUAGCAACAGUAACAUGAUGACAUGGCACCAUUAACAGGGGAUUACUGUAGCAUGACACUGGGGGUGUUACAACGACGAAGGCGGCGAGUCGCUGACUCGGCGGGCCCAUCUCAUUUCGCACCAAAAAUUGUCUCCUCCGAUGCCCCCGGGCGCCUCCAGCUCGUUGGGUUUAGUCUAGGUCCGCUAGCACCAAAAUCGGCCUGAGCCGGCGAAAUGUGGGGUUUUGGGGGUGCGACUGGGGCCGAUUUUUCGGCACCGGCGACAACAAAAGGCCUUGGGGGGCUUGCUGGGGCGCGACUGUAGCACCCUGGAUGUAAUUUGCCGUAAUUGUAACUUCGACUCUGCCAUUUCCGGCUUUAAGUUAUGAGAUUCGUGGUUGGGUUCUUGUCUUUGUUUUGCAUUUUGUUCAUGUCAUGCAUAUCAUACCAUGUCAUCAUGUGCAUCGCAUUUGCAUACGUGUUUGUAUCAUGCAUCCGAGCUUUUUCCCCGUUGUCCGUUUUGCAUUCCGACACUCCCACGUCCUCCGGCGCCCCCUUUUGUCUCUUUUCGUGAGCGGGUGUUAAACUUUCUCGGAAUGAACCGAGAUUUACCAAGUGGCCUUGGUACACCACCGGUAGACCGCCUAUCAAGUUUCGUGUCAUUUGGAGUCCGUUUGAUACUCCAACAGUUAACCGGAGAACCACAAAGGCCUCGUGUGUGUUGCAGCCCAACACCCCUCCAAAAUGGCUCAAUAACCCUUCUAAACCACUCCCAUGUCCUCCGCGUGGUCGAAAACUACACCUCAUUUGAACGCUCCCACCUCCUUCUAGGUAUAAGUAUGUCUCUCCCUUCGGAAUUCCGGGUCCAAACCCUACCCUAACCUUCCCCGCCGCCACCGGACGCGUCCGAGACGGCCGGACGUGUCCGCGCCGCCGCUCGCAGCCAACCCCGCACCGCCACGUGCACACCCGCGCCCACAUCGCUGCCGUCGCCCGGGGCCCAGAUCCGGCCCGCCCCAGGCCGAACCGGGCCUCGCCGGGCCCCGCGCCGUCGCCUCUGGCCUNNNNNNNNNNNNNNNNNNNNNNNNNNNNNNNNNNNNNNNNNNNNNNNNNNNNNNNNNNNNNNNNNNNNNNNNNNNNNNNNNNNNNNNNNNNNNNNNNNNNNNNNNNNNNNNNNNNNNNNNNNNNNNNNNNNNNNNNNNNNNNNNNNNNNNNNNNNNNNNNNNNNNNNNNNNNNNNNNNNNNNNNNNNNNNNNNNNNNNNNNNNNNNNNNNNNNNNNNNNNNNNNNNNNNNNNNNNNNNNNNNNNNNNNNNNNNNNNNNNNNNNNNNNNNNNNNNNNNNNNNNNNNNNNNNNNNNNNNNNNNNNNNNNNNNNNNNNNNNNNNNNNNNNNNNNNNNNNNNNNNNNNGCCCGUCCUCCGCGCGACCUCGCCGCGCCCUUGCCGGUGUCGCAGGCCUCCACCGCCGGCCGCCGCGGGCCCCCGCGUCGUUCCAGCCGCGCCGCGCCGCCCCUUGACUCCUCCACCGCCCGAGCUCCUUCCUCCGGCGAACGCCAUGACCUCGCCGGCUCCUUCCUCCGGCAAGCUCCCGCAGAUCCGGCGACAUCUCCGGCGAUCCUUGCAGAGCGUGCAAACCCUAGAUCCAAAAGGGUUGACCCCGUUUUCUCACUAAGUCAUUUUUUCUGCUAUAUUUUUAGCCCCUGUUCAUCAUGCCAUAACUUCAUGUGUACUGCUCCGUUUUGUGCAUGAAAUAUAUCAAAAUGUUUAUCAUGAUUUGCUCUUAAUUUUGUUCCAUUGUGCCAUGCUUGUUUGAGUCCAUCUUGAUGCGCAAAUCGUUGAUGCAAGAGUGCUAUAAAUUGUUAGGUGCUGUUACUUAGCAGAUUAUAAGCUUUUGUCAUUUUUGUCACAUUUGUUGUGUGCUGCAUAUGGGCAUGAGUCGUACAUGUAUUUUGAUCUAUGCCAUGCCAUCUUUACAGGGGUGUAUUCCAUGUAUUUUUGUGAUCUUUGUGGUGACUAGCACAAGCAUGCAAAGUAGCCUUCGUGAUAUUGCUGAUUUCAGGAUCUUAGGAUUUCACUCUCAUUUUCCUGCUGUUAUUUUUAUGCCAUGUAACCAUGUUGCUACAGUGAGAUACAUGCUUUAUUUGAGUUGCUUCAGUAAGGAUGAUUUGGACAUAUGGUUAUGCUCUAUCCAUCCAUGCCCCCGUUUGCAAUUAUGGAGUGCCCUAGCAUGUGUUAAUCUUGCUCUACUUUUGCUAUAAAAUGUUUUUGGCAGAUUAUUUACAUGUUAAUCAAUUUUGCCAUGGUUGUUGUAGUUGAUCCAUGCAUGCUAUAAACUUGUUAUUGUCAUGGUUAGCCUUAUGUUCAUGUCUUCUUGAUGGUAGUAUUCUUAGUUUGUCAUGCAAGGCUUUGUGAGGAGUGAAUCGAGCUCGCAAAGAUGCCUUCAUAACUCUGUUUAUGCCAUGCCCAGUUUUCUGCUAAGUCUGAUUCUGUUAACAAAACUUGCUAUGUUAAUAUGGGUGCCAUCAUAUAUUUUGUGCCUUUUUGGCUUAUGGUCAGUAAGGGACUUUUGUUUUAUGCUUUGAGUAGAUUCAUGCCAUGCCUUGUAUUGCUAUGAUAUGUUCCUGUAGCAUGUUGUUUGCUUCCUCUAAACAUUGCUUCCUGAUGAUAAUUCCUGGCAUGUUAGUAUUUUCACUAAGUCUAUGAAGCUGAUAUCUUUUGCACUUUUGCUAUGCUUGUUUGAACCUGCUCUUUUGUGAUUUAACCGUAACUCAGUGUUCAUCUUUUAUCAAGCAUCUUGAGUAGAUCACUGCCUUGUGCUUUGUUGCUAUGUUGGAGUGCAGUAGCUUAGUUUCUUGUUGUUUUCUAGAUGACAUCAUGUUGUUAAUCGCAGAAUUGUGCCAUUCUUGUUUUGCUUGCCAUUUGCAAACCGUGCAUCCGAUUCCGGUGAUCUUUAUAUCAAUUUCGACCGAAAUCAUCUCAUCUUUCCAGUGGCACACUUGGUUUGCCAAGUUGAUGCCUGGUUCAAUAUUUCCUUUCCAAAGAAUGCAUAUGCAUUGCAUAUCACAUCCCGCAUAUCUUGCAAUGUUUUGCAUCAUGUUGCUUGCGCAUUGCACCGUGGUUAAUUGUUGUUUCCUUUGCUUGUGUUCUUGAUUUGGGUAGAGCCGGGAGACGAGUGCGUGAUCUAGGAACCCGUUGAGUACGCUUACGAGGAUCAAGCUUUCGUCAACUCGGAGAACUUUGCAGGCAAGAUGACCAUACCCUCGAAAUCACUUCUAUCUUUGCUUGCUAGUUGUUCGCUCUUUUGCUAUGCCGCGAUACCUACCACUUGAUUAUCAUGCCUCCCAUAUUGCCAUGUCAAGCCUCUAACCCACCUUUCAUAGCAAACCGUUGUUUGGCUAUGUUACCGCUUUGCUCAGCCCCUCUUAUAGCGUUGCUAGUUGAAGGUGAAGAUGAAGUUUGUUCCAUGUUGGAACAUGGAUAUUGUUGAGAUAUCAUUAUUAUAUCUUAUUUACUUUAAUGCAUCUAUAUACUUGGUAAAGGAUGGAAGGCUUGGCCUUAUGCCUGGUGUUUUGUUCCACUCUUGCCGCCCUAGUUUCCGUCAUACCGGUGUUAUGUUCCUUGUUUUUGUGUUCCUUACGCGGUUGGGUGUUAUGGGAACCCCUUGACAAUUCGCUUGUUUUACAUUUGCCUAACAACCUAUCACCUUCCCUUGGGUUCUGCAGACUCAAGGGUCAUCUUUAUUUUAACCCCCCCGGGCCAGUGCUUGUCUAAGUGUUGGUCUGAACCAGAGCCACUUGCGGCGCCACCUCGGGGAAACUUGAGGGCUGAUUUUAGCUGUACGUAGUGUUCAUCCGGUGUUGCCCUGAGAACGAGAUAUGUGCAGCUCCUAUCAGGAUGUCGGCGCAUCGGGCGGUCUUGCUGGUCUUGUUUUACCAUUGUUGAAAUGUCUUGUAACCGGGAUUCCGAGACUAAUCGGGUCUUCUCGGGAGAAGGAAUAUCUUUAGUUGACCGUGAGAGCUUGUGAUGGGAUAAGUUGGGACACCCCUGCAGGGUUUUAAACUUUUGAAAGCCGCGCCCGCGGUUAUGGGCGGAUGGAAAUUUGUUAAUGUCCGGCUGUAGAGAACUUGGAAUUAGUUUAAUUAAAAUGAAUCAACCGCGUGUGUAGCCGUGAUGGUCUCUUUUCGGUGGAGUCCGGGAAGAGAACACGGUCUCGUGUUAUGCUUGAACGUAAGUAGCCUCAGGAUCACUUCUUAAUCAUUAUUAGCUUCUCGACCGUGCUUUGCUUCUCUUCUCGCUCUCUUUUGCGUAAGUUAGCCACCAUAUAUGCUAGUGCUUGCUGCAGAUCCACCUCACUAUCCUUUCCUACCUUUAAGCUUAAAUAGUCUUGAUCGCGAGGGUGUGAGAUUGCUGAGUCCCCGUGACUCACAGAUACUUCCAAAACAGAUGCAGGUGCCGAUGAUGCCAGUGCAGGGGCCGCUACCGAACUCAAGUGGGAGUUCGACGAGGAUUCGGGCCGUUAAUAUGUGUCUUUUCCGGAUGAUCAGUAGAGGAGCCCAGUUGGGUUGAUCGAGUAUCUAGCAUUUGGGGUUGUCUUUCUUUAUUUGGUUCCGUAGUCGUACCUUGAUUGUAUUAUGGAUGAUGUAUGAUAUAUUUAUGUAUUGUGUGAAGUGGCGAUUGUAAGCCAACUCUUUAUCCAUUUCUUAUUCAGUACAUGGGAUGUGUACAGACUACCCCUCUCGCGACAGGCCUACUAUGUGGUUAUGCCUCUAAGUCAUGCUCCGACACGUGGGAGAUAUAGCCGCAUCGUGGGUGGUACAGCGACUGAAGAUGCUCUGGCCAUUUUUUUGGGAGGGGGGGAGGGAUGUUUGAUUUUGCACACAUUGAAAUUUUCAUCAUAAGUACGGUCUUUUUACAAGUACUAGCAAACAUGCCCGUGCGUUGCCACGGGUUAAUUUAAUUCAUUUAUUUAAAACAUGGAUAAUUUAGUCGAAGAACAAUCUUCAGUUCAAUUAGAGCAUUUAGAAUUUUCGUUGUCCGAACCAUCGGGCAAAGAUGUAAAGAACGGUACUCAUUUCGUCCGGCGGUGCCUCCUUCAACUCCUCAGUGCCCUAGGGUCGAAGAUGAGUUGUGCAUGGAAGAGUUUUUGAGUGGGAGAAACAAAUGGUGGAAGGAGGGUUGCUGUUGGAGAGGAAGGGGUGCAUGUAGGACUUUAGCUGAAUGCCUAUUUUCUUGACUUUGAAGUAAUUUUUUUGAGAGUUUAAUUACUAAUUCAAAGGAUUUUCAUAUAUUAUUUAAAGUGAGAGCAUUGCCGACUUUACUAUGACAAUGUAGAUUGGGCCGCCGAUGCCUAUUGACAAAUCAUAUGAUACCAGGACAUUAACCAUCAUACUCACAAUAAAAAUGUUGUACACGUAGCACCUAUAUUGAGUUACUGACAUGAGAUAGUAAAAAUGUUGUAUACUUCGCUGGUUGUCCAUGCAUAUAUGCUCAUGUUGUGUAUGUGCUAACCAUGAAGUUUGUGUCGUAUAGAUUUACUGACUUCCUCUUCUGUUGCGAUAUAUGCAGGGUUAACCAUCGCAAUUGAACCUUUGCAUGGUGUGUUGCGCUUCAACUCACGGUUAGCUGCAAUUUGCUUUAUCCUAGCUUUCUUUUGUUCUGGCUGCAUAUUUGCAUAUUUCUGUCUUUCUCGUGCACAUUUUUUUACCUUUUGUGUUGGCUCCAUAUUUGCAUAUUUCUUCCUUCCCUGUGUGCAUUUUUUUCGCAAACGGGUUGAAUCUUUUUUUUUGCUUUGCUGAUAGGCUUCACGACGCUUUUUUAGUUUUCCCCGUUUGUCUUCAUUGGUCAUCCUUGCAUACCGCUCUCUGUCUUUUCUCCUUCUUUGUUCCCUGGCAUCCAUGACCGGAGAUCGCGACCCCAAUUGCUUGUUUGCAUGAGACUUUUUUAUAUUAUAUAAAUAUGUUAUUCAUUAAAAAAAACAGAUUAGAUUUUGCAUCAUAAAUAGAACAUAGGAGCUACUCCUACUUAUAAGUUACAUUAAGUACGCUGGACAUUAGCAUGAGAAUAUAUGUGUUUAUAUAGUGUCAUGUUAUUCCUAGAUCCAAUUUAGAAAAAUAGGAAAAUGAUAUUGAAGUAAGAGCACUGAUAUACAGCUGAUAUUUUUUGUCUAACUUCAGUACGACAAUGUAGACCAAACGUCUAUAAAUAGUGAGAAAACAUAUCACACUGGCACAUUAAUCAUCCUAAUGAGUUACUAACAUCGGACAAUAAAAAUACAAUGAUGUAGAUCAGACGUCUAUAAAUGGUGACAAACCUAAUGCGUUACUAACAUCAGACAAUAAAAAUAUCGUACAUGCAAUACUUUUGUUGAAGUUAUUUCACCUGGACACAGUUGUUCCUCCAUACCUCCAGCACGUCCAUCUUCAGAGACGUUAAGCAUGACAUCUUCUUUCUUGUCCGGAACAACAACUUUACUGAGAUCUGACUCUAUGGCCAUGACUUCUAAAUGUUUUUCGGUGUCGAUGGUUUAUUAUGCAAACACGUAUAUAGGCGAGAUCAACAGUGCCAGAAAAAAAGUUGUUGUGUAGUUUACGUCCGUGUGCAAGUAUUUCACAGGACGUCUAGAUAAUGCUUCCCUUGUGUGCACGUCAAGCUGUGUGUGUGUGUGUGUAUCUCAUCAAAAAAGAAAAAGAAAAGCCUCGCCUAUUUUACAAGUACCGGAGUUAGUACAACGGAGAGAGUAUAUAACUCAUAAAAAAGAAGAAAAAAAUCAUCGCCUAUUUUUUUAGGUUAUAAAAUCAUCGCCUAUUUUACAAGUAUAGGAUAUAGGAAUCCUGCAUGCCUACUCCGAGUCUGAGUCCAACUACGCCUCGAUCGAGUUGUUGAUCUCGAUACGGACAGAAACCAUGCCGUCCUAUUACAUAUAUUGGCUGCUAGUAUUCUUUUGACGGUUAUAUACAUUGCUAGUUCAUAUAUAGAUCGAUUUUCCAGCCAGGAUCUUUGCUUACGUCGAUCGGUCGACUCCAGAUUGCUAAUUAACGAUAAGUCUCUUCAAAUCUGCCCGAGGUUCGUGUCUCCGGUGCGACGGCCGCCGGCGAAGGAAGGAAGCCAGCGCCCACGAUGGACCCAAAGGCAGCGGAAACGGCAUGUGCCUCCCCUACAACCUGCUCGUCGACGUCCUCCGCCGCCUGUCGCCCCGGACCCUCGCCCAGUGCCAGGAGACCUGCCGCGCGUGGCGCGCCAUCGGACGACCACCACCUCCUACACCCCUUCUACACCUCCAACUACUUCCCAGGGUCCUUCAAGGAUCGUCAUGUCCGACGCUGGGACGAUGGGCCGUCCUUCAUCCUCCCGCCGGACAUGGUGAUGGAUCCACUGACCCGGAGAGUACAUCGUAAAUCAUACGGGACGUGAUUGAUUUGCACUAAUCAUCGUCGGCCUUGUACACCGUAUUGGAACCCUUGAAAUUGUUCUAUUGUAAUCGAUUUGACCCUCGUGGCAUUUAUUUUCAUAUAGACUACAAUGUUAGGGAGAGGUUUUGAGUAAAAGACAUGUCAUUGUAAGUUGGGAGUUCAAAUCAAUACUAUAUUAUCGCAAAAAAAAAUCAAUACUAUAUCAAUCACUAUGCGCGAAAAUUCAUUGGAGUGCUCAUCCUCGCAUGCUCCUGGUAUCUGUGUUCGCUCGUUUCUUUCGGGAUAAGAGCAGGAGGUGUAUUGAUCAGGUAUGCAUCCCGUAUAUUAGGUACAAUUAAACCGGGUUGGAUCCAUCAGGCAACCGCGUAGCGCCGUGCCAUUUGGAACCGAACAGAGACGCCAUAACCAGCCUGUACCGUAUCACGCAGGGAAAGACGGCACGUUACGUCACGUGCGCCUCCCGGACGGCGGCACCCCCUAGUGGAUGGGGUUGAGCGCUGGUUGGAGAUUAUCAUACGGUACAAGUAGUCAUGAUUGGAAAAUACAUCAAUAAUCUUGCCGCACCACGUAACAGAGCCACGGAUGGUCGUUACAUUACAAGCUCGUUUGCAUAAUUAUUACUCAAACAAUUCAUAAUUCAGUUCUAGCCAUGGCUACCCGAGCCCCUACAAUACAUGAAAAAACGGUCAGAUGACAACGAAACCCUCAUGGCUGCAAUUUGUCUAGGUUUCUUGUAUAUAACACAUGAUUUUUUUUUUGUUCAUCUAAGAAAAAUAUAGCUAUAGCUUGGAAACUUGAGUAUCCGGACGAAGGUUUGCUAGCCAAGGUUCUGGACGUAUCCGGACGAAGUUUCCAACGGUAGUAUAUUUUGACAUAUAAUUUAUAUUAUAUUACUCCCUUCGUUUCGAAUUACUUCUCGUAAGUAUGGAUGUAUCUAGAUGUAUUUUAAUUCUAGAUACAUCCAUUUCUGCGACGAGUAAUUUGGAACGGAGGGAGUAGAAUUUAUGAUUAAAAUUUGGUCUAAUAUAAUAAAUACUCUAUCCGUCUUAAAAUUCUUGCUUAAAUUAGUCUAGAUACGGAUGUAUCUAAUACUAAAAUGUGACUUGAUACAUCUGUAUUUAGACAAAUCUAAGACAAGAAUUUUGGGACGGAGGGUAUAAAGAGACUAAUAUUCUCACGCACCGGGCAUGCCUCUCGCUCUCGCUAUCGCGGCGCCGCACCUUCCCCCCGCCAUAGCCACCACAUCAGAUCGAACCCCGCGGCAUGCCUCCACGCCGGAGAGGGGUGCUAGCGCUGCCUGCGCCCACGCCUCCCCCACCCCAGCAGCCUGCGCCGACCACGCGCGAGAUCCUGCGACUGAUUUCCCCAAUCUCACAGGCGGUGCUCAUGGCGACCAGGGCCAGGGGGUGGGCGGAGCAUGCGACCAGGAUCCGGGACGCCACCUUCGAGUGGAUCCGGUGCGUGUAGGAGUGGAAGGCGGCCAAACAGGCGGCGGCGGCGACGACCGAUCCGGUGGCGUUAUCUGCGGCCGCGAAGGUCGCCGAGAUUCGUCGAAGGAGGGCAGAUGUGGAGCAAAGGAAGCUGGCGCGACAAAUCUACGAGGAGGCCACGCUGGAGGAGAGGGCGAGGAUGCCCCCGUUUCCGUCCUCCCCGCCGGCCGAAUUCGUGAUCUGGGCGAGCUGCCGUGGUUCGGAGGCCGCGGCGAGGUUCCACUAGUCGCUCAUCCAAGGUCACGGGAGGGGAUUUGUAUCCCAAAGGAAAAGGUAUGUCUCACGAUCUCGCAGUCGACGAUAGGGUUAGAUUCGAUGGGGAUUAAACAGAGCUUGUGCUCGGCGAAUCGAGAUUUGUCGUCGUCGGCGAGGUCCUGGUCGCCGGAGUUGGGGGAUUGUUCCCCUGUGGUGCGACAGAGAUCACCCAGUCGGAUUGACGUGGGCCCCGUUGCCACGUCGCUCCCACCAAUCAGGUGUGGGAGGGUGAAAACGACUUUGGCGAAUACGUCUUCUGUUCACGACGACGCAGAUGAGACCAUCUCUAGGGUUUUUGGACAGCUUUGGUCCUUUCCUUCCUCCCGCCGUCACCAGCCUUGCCCUCUCCCACCCAACAAACCCACCACCACUCUAGGAUGGCUCUGGAAAGAUCUUGCUCGCUCCGGAUGUUUCUCUCCAUCUGAUCUAUUCCCCAUCAAGCAUCUCCGCCCAUUUGAUCCUCCCCCGACGCAGCUUAAGAUCAUCAUAGAGGGGAUUGGGAGUGGAUCUAAAUCCUUUGCUCAGGCGGUCAUGGCGGACAAGAAUGCACCGAAUGCGGGGCUGAAACAACGUGCUCCGGCUCCACCGAAGAACCCGGGUCGUCGUCAAGCCGCCCGGGGGAGGGGGGGGGAGGUGGGCAUGCUGCUACCGCGCCUGGCAAAGGGGCUGCCCCCCUUACACAGGCGGUGGUGACAGCAUCUCCACCACCAAUCCCUUCCACCUCACCAGUGCAGAUCUUCGACGAGCGAUAUAAGGACAUGGUGUGCUUUACCUGUGGAGGUCCUAGUCACUACGUCGGCAAUUGCAUCCAGAAGAAGAUCUGCUUCAUCUGUGGCCUGGAGGGGCACAAUGUCAAUAAUUGCGCAGCCUGGUCGCAACCUCACCCAGUUGCCACAUUCUUCAGCAGCUCUGCUUUGGGUCUGGGAUUCUAUCACAUCGACGCUCCUGUGGGUCGUGAAGCGAAUUGGCUCAAUUUCAGGAACUGUGGUGAAGUUUGGGUUAUGAAAGGGGAAAUCAACAAGUAUGAUUCGGUCAAGAACUUGUUUGGUAUAUUUUGCAAAAACAAGCAAUGGACAUGGCACAUCAGGCCAUUGACAGAGAAAAAAAGUUUCCUGGUCAGAUUCCCACCCUGGAAAGAGGUGGAUGAGUUGAUUGAGUUUCCUGCCUUCGAUUUGCCUAUAGAUGGAGUUUCUGUGUCUGUUGAGAAGUGGACCGGUGCAAUUCAAUGAACUUACUGAAGCUUGGGUGAUUAUUGAGGGGCUCUCAUCUAAAUGGUGCACGUGGAAGGUUCUGUCACAGAUUGCAUCUUGCUUUGGGAUCUUAGUUGAUGUGGAUAGGAAUGGCUUAAUGAAGAGUUUCUAUGAGAAGGUGAGAGUCAAGAUUGCAUGCAGGGACCCAGCUAAAAUCCCAUUUGAACGGAUCAUGGAGAUGAGGAAAAAACUGUAUAUCUUGUCAUUUACAGUGGAAGGUUUUGAUCAGAUAGGGGCUGAUGAUCCUAAUGAUGACAAUGGGCCUACUGACAUCUCUGUGGACGAUGACAACAAAGCAAAUGAUGAUGAAGAGCUGGACAAGGACAUCCUGGAUGAUGGAGAGGAGCCCAUUGAUGACCUGGAUCUGGCUAACAGGGCUUCAAAAACCCCAGUUGGGAAAAAGGCAAAUAAUGAUGGUGCUACCUUCCAUCCUGCUGCUCUGCUAGAGGCAUGUGUCUCUGCUGUGAAAGAUGACAAGAAACCUAAGGAAGAAAAUAAAUCUCAGAGCAUGUGCUCUCCCAUACCUUUCUCUGAGGCGAUCAAGACCCUUGGCACUCCCAACAACUACAACAAUGUUGUCAGUUCAUCUGCAGCGCCUUCAGGUGGAGCUGUUACUGCCACUUCCCCCAUGUAUGCCCCAAAAGCCUACUGCUCUGGUCUGCUAGAAGAAUUGGAAGAUUCUGCAUCUGAUACUGCCAGUGAUGCUGCUGAAUCAGAAGAAGAGAUGGGCACAUUUGCAGGCCCGGUGGCCAGUGGUCUGAAGAUGCUGUAGCUCAUGGAGAAGUUGGCUCUGGAAAAUCCAACAACCAAGAAUAAGUGGGGUCCAACUGUGGCUCCAAGACAAAGUGCUAGGGUUCACAGCAGGCAAAACAUCAUGGAGAAAGUUGUUGGGGAACGUUGUAGAAAACAAAAAUUUUCCUACUCGUUUCACCAAGAUCAUCUAGGAGUUCAUCUAGCAACGAGUCAUUGGAUGCAUCUACAUACCUUUGUAGAUCGCGAGCGGAAGCGUUCAAAAGAACGGUGACGAUGUAGUCGUACUCGACGUGAUCCAAAUCACCGAUGACCAGCGCCGAACGGACGGCACCUCCGCGUUCAACACACGUACGGGACGGGAGACGUCUCCUCCUUCUUGAUCCAGCAAGGGGGAAGGAGAGGUUGAUGAAGAUCCAGCAGCACGACGGCGUGGUGGUGGAUGCAGGGCGUCACAGCAGCAGGGCUUCGCCGAGACUACGAGGGAGAGACGUAACGGGGGGAGGUGGAGGCGCCAGGGGCUGGUGUAAAAUCCCUCCUCUCCCCCCCACUAUAUAUAGGGGUGCCAAGGGGGGGGGCGCCGGCCCUAGUAGAUGGCAUCUACUAGGGGGGGCGGCGGCCAAGGGGAGGUUUCCCUCCCCCCCAAGGCACCUAGGGGUGCCUUCCACCACAUGGACUCUUCCAUGGUGGAAACCCUAGGCGCAUGGGCCUAUAGGGGCUGGUGCCCUUGGCCCAUCUAGGCCAAGGCGCACCCCCUACAGCCCAUGUGGCCCCCCGGGACAGGUGGCCCCACCCGGUGGACCCCCGGGACCCUUCCGGUGGUCCCGGUACAAUACCGAUAACCCCGAAACUUGUCCCGAUGCCCGAAAUAGCACUUCCUAUAUAUAAUUCUUUACCUCUGGACCAUUCCGGAACUCCUCGUGACGUCCGGGAUCUCAUCCGGGACUCCGAACAACAUUCGGGUUUUUGCAUAUACAUAUCUUCAUAACCCUAGCGUCACCGAACCUUAAGUGUGUAGACCCUACGGGUUCAGGAGACAAGCAGACAUGACCGAGACGACUCUCCGGUCAAUAACCAACAGCGGGAUCUGGAUACCCAUGUUGGCUCCCACAUGCUCCACGAUGAUCUCAUCAGAUGAACCACGAUGUCGAGGAUUUAAUCAAUCCCGUACGCUAUUCCCUUUGUCUAUCGAUAUGUUACUUGCCCGAGAUUCGAUCGUCGGUAUCCCAAUACCUCGUUCAAUCUCGUUACCGGCAAGUCACUUUACUCGUACGGCAAUGCAUGAUCCCGUGACCAGACACUUGGUCACUCUGAGCUCAUUAUGAUGAUGCAUUACCGAGUGGGCCCAGUGAUACCUCUCCGUCAUACGGAGUGACAAAUCCCAGUCUUGAUCCAUGUCACCCAACAGACACUUUCGGAGAUACCCGUAGUCUACCUUUAUAGUCACCCAGUUACGUUGUGACGUUUGGCAUACCCAAAGCACUCCUACGGUAUCCGGGAGUUACACGAUCUCAUGGUCUAAGGAAAAGAUACUUGACAUUGGAAAACUCUAGCAAACGAACUAUACGAUCUUGUGCUAUGUUUAGGAUUGGGUCUUGUCCAUCACAUCAUUCUCCCAAUGAUGUGAUCUCGUUAUCAAUGACAUCCAGUGUCCAUAGUCAGGAAACCAUGACUAUCUGUUGAUCAACGAGCUAGUCAACUAGAGGCUCACUAGGGACACGUUGAUGUCUGUUAUUCACACAUGUAUUACGAUUUCCGAAUAACACAAUUAUAGCAUGAAUAAAGACAAUUAUCAUGAACAAGGAAAUAUAAUAAUAAUGCUUUUAUUAUUGCCUCUAGGGCAUAUUUCCAACAGUCUCCCACUUGCACUAGAGUCAAUAAUCUAGUUACAUUGUGAUGAAUCGAACACCCAUGGAAUUCUGGUGUUGAUCAUGUUUUGCUCUAGGGAGAGGUUUAGUCAACGGAUCUGCUAUAUUCAGGUCCGUAUGUACUUUACAAAUCUCUAUGUCUCCAUCUUGAACAUUUUCACGAAUGGAGUUGAAGCGACGCUUGAUGUGCCUUGUCUUCUUGUGAAACCUGGGCUCCUUGGCAAGUGCAAUAGCUCCAGUGUUGUCACAGAAGAGCUUGAUUGGCCCCGACGCAUUGGGUAUGACUCCUAGGUCGGUGAUGAACUCCUUCACCCAUAUUGCUUCAUGUGCUGCCUCCGAGGCUGCCAUGUACUCCGCUUCACAUGUAGAUCCCGCCACGACGCUUUGCUUGCAACUACACCAGCUUACUGCCCCACCAUUCAAAAUAUACACGUAUCCGGUUUGUGACUUAGAGUCAUCCAGAUCUGUGUCGAAGCUAGCGUCGACGUAACCCUUUACGACGAGCUCUUCGUCACCUCCAUAAACGAGAAACAUUUCCUUAGUCCUUUUCAGGUACUUCAGGAUAUUCUUGACCGCUGUCCAGUGUUCCUUGCCGGGAUUACUUUGGUACCUUCCUACCAAACUUACGGCAAGGUUUACAUCAGGUCUGGUACACAGCAUGGCAUACAUAAUAGAACCUAUGGCUGAGGCAUAGGGGAUGACGCUCAUCUCUUCUAUAUCUUCUGCCGUGGUCGGACAUUCAGCUGAGCUCAAUUUCAUACCUUGCAACACAGGCAAGAACCCCUUCUUGGAUUGAUCCAUAUUGAACUUCUUCAAUAUCUUAUCAAGGUAUGUGCUUUGUGAAAGACCUAUGAGGCGUCUCGAUCUAUCUCUAUAGAUUUUGAUGCCUAAUAUAUAAGCAGCUUCUCCAAGGUCCUUCAUUGAAAAACUUUUAUUCAAGUAGGCCUUGAUGCUGUCCAAGAGUUCUAUAUCAUUUCCCAUCAAAAGUAUGUCAUCUACAUAUAAUAUGAGAAAUGCUACAGAGCUCCCACUCACUUUCUUGUAAACGCAGGCUUCUCCAUAAGUCUGUGUAAACCCAAACGCUUUGAUCAUCUCAUCAAAGCGAAUGUUCCAACUCCGAGAUGCUUGCACCAGCCCAUAAAUCGAGCGUUGGAGCUUGCACACUUUGUCAGCAUUCUUAGGAUCGACAAAACCUUCCGGCUGUAUCAUAUACAAUUCUUCCUUAAGGAAACCAUUAAGGAAUGCCGUUUUGACGUCCAUUUGCCAUAUUUCGUAAUCAUAGAAUGCGGCAAUUGCUAACAUGAUUCGGACGGACUUCAGCUUCGCUACCGGAGAGAAAGUCUCAUCGUAGUCAACCCCUUAAACUUGUCGAUAACCCUUAACGACAAGCCGAGCUUUAUAGAUGGUCACAUUACCAUCCGCGUCUGUCUUCUUCUUAAAGAUCCAUUUAUUUUCUAUGGCUCGCCGCUCAACGGGCAAGUCACUCAAAGUCCAUACUUUGUUUUCAUACAUGGAUCCUAUCUCGGAUUUCAUGGCUUCCAGCCAUUUGUCGGAAUCCGGGCCCGCCAUCGCUUCUUCAUAGUUCGAAGGUUCACCGUUGUCUAACAGCAUGAUUUCCAAGACAGGGUUGCCGUACCACUCUGGUGCGGAACGUGUCCUUGUGGACCUUCGAAUUUCAGUAGGGGCUUGAUCAGAAGUAUCUUGAUCAUUGUCAUUAACUUCCUCUCUAGUCGGUGCAGGCACCUCAGGAACAUUUUCUUGAGUUGCGCCAUUUUCCGGUUCAAGAGGUAAUACUUCAUCAAGCUCUACUUUCCUCCCACUUACUUCUUUUGAGAGAAACUCUUUCUCCAGAAAGGACCCAUUCUUGGCAACAAAGAUCUUGCCUUCGGAUCUGAGGUAGAAGGUGUACCCAAUAGUUUCUUUUGGGUAUCCUAUGAAGACGCAUUUUUCCGACUUGGGUUCGAGCUUUUCAGGUUGAAGUUUCUUGACAUAAGCAUCGCAUCCCCAAACUUUUAGAAACGACAGCUUAGGUUUCUUCCCAAACCAUAAUUCAUACGGUGUCGUCUCAACGGAUUUCAACGGAGCCCUAUUUAAAGUGAAUGCGGCAGUCUCUAAAGCAUAGCCCCAAAAGGAAAGCGGUAAAUCGGUAAGAGACAUCAUAGAUCGCACCAUAUCUAACAGAGUGCGAUUACGACGUUCGGACACACCAUUACGCUGAGGUGUUCCAGGCGGCGUGAGUUGUGAAACUAUUCCACAUUUUCUUAAGUGUGUGCCAAACUCGUGACUCAAGUAUUCUCCUCCACGAUCUGAUCGUAGAAACUUGAUUUUCCUGUCACGUUGAUUUUCAACCUCACUCUGAAAUUCCUUGAACUUUUCAAAGGUUUCAGACUUGUGUUUCAUUAAGUAGAUAUACCCAUACCUACUUAAAUCAUCAGUGAGGGUGAGAACAUAACGAUAGCCACCGCGAGCCUCAACACUCAUUGGACCGCACACAUCAGUAUGUAUGAUUUCCAAUAAGUCGGUUGCUCGCUCCAUUGUUCCUAAGAACGGAGUCUUGGUCAUUUUACCCAUAAGGCAUGGUUCGCAUGUGUCAAAUGAUUCAUAAUCAAGAGACUCUAAAAGUCCAUCAGCAUGGAGCUUCUUCAUGUGUUUGACACCUAUGUGACCAAGGCGGCAGUGCCACAGGUAUGUGGGACUAUCAUUAUCAACCUUACUUCUUUUGGUACUCACAUUAUGAACAUGUGUAGCAUCACGUUCGAGAUUCAUAAAGAACAAACCAUUCAUCAUAGGAGCAUGACCAUAAAACAUAUCUCUCAUAAAAAUGGAACAACCAUUAUUCUCAGAUUUAAAAGAGUAGCCAUCUCGAAUUAAACGAGAUCCUGAUACAAUGUUCAUGCUCAAAGCUGGCACUAAAUAACAAUUAUUAAGGUUUAAAACUAAUCCCGAAGGGAGAUGCAGAGGUAGCGUGCCGACGGCGAUCACAUUGACCUUGGAACCAUUCCCGACGCGCAUCGUCACCUCGUCCUUUGCCAGUUUCCGCUUAUUCCGCAGCCCCUGCUUUGAGUUACAAAUGUGAGCAACUGCACCGGUAUCAAAUACCCAGGAGCUACUACGGGCACUAGUAAGGUACACAUCAAUUACAUGUAUAUCACAUAUACCUUUUGUUUUGCCGGCCUUCUUAUCCGCUAAGUACUUAGGGCAGUUCCGCUUCCAGUGACCGCUUCCCUUGCAAUAAAACCACUCAGUCUCGGGCUUGGGUCCAUUCUUUGGCUUCUUCCCGGCAGCUUGCUUGCCGGGCGCGGCAACCUCCUUGCCGUCCUUCUUGAAGUUCUUUUUACCCUUGCCUUUCUUGAACUUAGUGGUUUUAUUGACCAUCAACACUUGAUGUUCCUUCCUGACUUCUACCUCUGCUGAUUUCAGCAUAGCAAAUACUUCAGGAAUGGUCUUUUCCAUCCCUUGCAUAUUGAAGUUCAUCACAAAGCUCUUGUAGCUUGGUGGAAGCGACUGGAGGAUUCUGUCAAUGACCGCAUCAUCCGGGAGAUUAACUCCCAGCUGAGUCAAGCGGUUAUGCAACCCAGACAUAGUGAGUAUGUGCUCACUGACAUAACUGUUUUCCUCCAUCUUACAGCUGAAGAAUUUGUCGGAGACUUCAUAUCUCUCGACCCGGGCAUGAGCUUGGAAAACCAUUUUCAGCUCUUCGAACAUCUCAUAUGCUCCAUGUCUCUCAAAACGCUUUUGGAGCCCCGGCUCUAGGCUGUAAAGCAUGCCGCACUGAACGAGGGAGUAGUCAUCGAAACGUGCCUGCCAAGCGUUCAUAACAUCUUGUUCUGCAGGGAGAACGGGUGCGUCACCAAGCGGUGCUUGUAGGACAUAAUCUUUCUUGGAAGCUAUGAGGAUGAUCCUCAGGUUCUGGACCCAGUCCGUAUAGUUGCUGCCAUCGUCUUUCAGCUUGGUUUUCUCUAGGAACGCGUUGAAGUUGAGGACUACGUUGGCCAUUUAAUCUACAAGACAUAUUGUAAAAUAUUUAGACUAAGUUCAUGAUAAUUAAGUUCAACUAAUCAAAUUAUUAAUGAACUCCCACUUAGAUUAGACAUCCCUCUAGUCAUCUAAGUAUUACAUGAUCCAAGUUAAACUAGACCGUGUCCGAUCAUCACGUGAGACGGACUAGUCAACAUCAGUGAACAUCUUCAUGUUGAUCGUAUCUUCUAUACGACUCAUGCUCGACCUUUCGGUCUUCCGUGUUCCGAGGCCAUGUCUGUACAUGCUAGGCUCGUCAAGUCAACCUAAGUGUUUGCAUGUGUAAAUCUGUCUUACACCCGUUGUAUGUGAACGUCUGAAUAAAACACCCGAUCAUCACGUGGUGUUCUGAAACAGCGAACUGUCGCAACGGUGCACAGUUAGGGGGAACACUUCUUGAAAUUAGUAUGAGGGAUCACCUUAUUUACUACCGUCAUUCUAAGUAAACAAGAUGCAAAACAUGAUAAACAUCACAUGCAAUCAAAUAAUAAACGUGACAUGAUAUGGCCAAUAUCACAUAGCUCCUUUGAUCUCCAUCUUGGGGCUCCAUGAUCAUCUUGUCACCGGCUUGACACCAUGAUCUCCAUCAUCAUGAUCUCCAUCAUCGUGUCUCCAUGAAGUUGCUCGCCAACUAUUACUUCUACUACUAUGGCUAACGCGUUUAGCAAUAAAGUAAAGUAAUUUACAUGGCGUUUCUUGAUGACACGCAGGUCAUAUAAAAGAAUAAAGACAACUCCUAUGGCUCCUGCCGGUUGUCAUACUCAUCGACAUGCAAGUCGUGAUUCCUAUUACAAUAGCAUGAACAUCUCAUACAUCACAUAUAGAUCAUUCAUCAUUCAUCACCACUUUGGCCAUAUCAUAUCACAAACCACUUGCUGCAAAAACAAGUUAGACGUCCUCUAAUUGUUGUUGCAAGUUUUACGUGGCUGAAUUAGGGUUCUAGCAAGAACGUUUUCUUACCUACGUUAAAGCCACAACGUGAUUUGUCAACUUCUAUUUACCCUUCAUAAGGACCCUGUUCAUCGAUUCCGCUCCAACUAAAGUAGGAGAGACAGACACCCGCCAGCCACCUUAUGCAACUAGUGCAUGUUAGUCGGUGGAACCGGUCUCACGUAAGCGUACGUGUAAGGUUGGUCCGGGCCGCUUCAUCCCACAAUACCGCUGAAGCAAGAAAGGACUAGUAACGGAAAGAAAGUUGACAAAUCUACGCCCACAACAAAUUGUGUUCUACUCGCGCAAGAAGAACUACGCAUAGACCUAGCUCAUGAUGCCACUGUUGGGGAACGUUGCAGAAAACAAAAAUUUUCCUACUCGUUUCACCAAGAUCAUCUAGGAGUUCAUCUAGCAACGAGUCAUUGGAUGCAUCUACAUACCUUUGUAGAUCGCGAGCGGAAGCGUUCAAAAGAACGGUGAUGAUGUAGUCGUACUCGACGUGAUCCAAAUCACCGAUGACCAGCGCCGAGCGGACGGCACCUCCGCGUUCAACACACGUACGGGACGGGAGACGUCUCCUCCUUCUUGAUCCAGCAAGGGGGAAGGAGAGGUUGAUGAAGAUCCAGCAGCACGACGGUGUGGUGGUGGAUGCAGGGCGUCACAGCAGCAGGGCUUCGCCGAGACUACGAGGGAGAGACGUAACGGGGGGAGGUGGAGGCGCCAGGGGCUGGUGUAAAAUCCCUCCUCUCCCCCCCACUAUAUAUAGGGGUGCCAAGGGGGGGGGGCGCCGGCCCUAGUAGAUGGCAUCUACUAGGGGGGGCGGCGGCCAAGGGGAGGUUUCCCUCCCCCCCAAGGCACCUAGGGGUGCCUUCCACCACAUGGACUCUUCCAUGGUGGAAACCCUAGGCGCAUGGGCCUAUAGGGGCUGGUGCCCUUGGCCCAUCUAGGCCAAGGCGCACCCCCUACAGCCCAUGUGCCCCCCGGGACAGGUGGCCCCACCCGGUGGACCCCCGGGACCCUUCCGGUGGUCCCGGUACAAUACCGAUAACCCCGAAACUUGUCCCGGUGCCCGAAAUAGCACUUCCUAUAUAUAAUUCUUUACCUCUGGACCAUUCUGGAACUCCUCGUGACGUCCGGGAUCUCAUCCGGGACUCCGAACAACAUUCGGGUUUCUGCAUAUACAUAUCUUCAUAACCCUAGCGUCACCGAACCUUAAGUGUGUAGACCCUACGGGUUCGGGAGACAAGCAGACAUGACCGAGACGACUCUGCGGUCAAUAACCAACAGCGGGAUCUGGAUACCCAUGUUGGCUCCCACAUGCUCCACGAUGAUCUCAUCGGAUGAACCACGAUGUCGAGGAUUUAAUCAAUCCCGUACGCUAUUCCCUUUGUCUAUCGAUAUGUUACUUGCCCGAGAUUCGAUCGUCGGUAUCCCAAUACCUCGUUCAAUCUCAUUACCGGCAAGUCACUUUACUCGUACCGCAAUGCAUGAUCCCGUGACCAGACACUUGGUCACUCUGAGCUCAUUAUGAUGAUGCAUUACCGAGUGGGCCCAGUGAUACCUCUCCGUCAUACAGAGUGACAAAUCCCAGUCUUGAUCCAUGUCACCCAACAGACACUUUCGGAGAUACCCGUAGUCUACCUUUAUAGUCACCCAGUUACGUUGUGACGUUUGGCAUACCCAAAGCACUCCUACGGUAUCCGGGAGUUACACGAUCUCAUGGUCUAAGGAAAAGAUACUUGACAUUGGAAAACUCUAGCAAACGAACUAUACGAUCUUGUGCUAUGUUUAGGAUUGGGUCUUGUCCAUCACAUCAUUCUCCCAAUGAUGUGAUCUCGUUAUCAAUGACAUCCGGUGUCCAUAGUCAGGAAACCAUGACUAUCUAUUGAUCAACGAGCUAGUCAACUAGAGGCUCACUAGGGACAUGUCAGUGUCUGUUAUUCACACAUGUAUUACGAUUUCCGGAUAACACAAUUAUAGCAUGAAUAAAGACAAUUAUCAUGAACAAGGAAAUAUAAUAAUAAUGCUUUUAUUAUUGCCUCUAGGGCAUAUUUCCAACAAAAGCUGCUGCUUACAAAAGGAUGAAAAACCUGGAAAUUCCCCCUACUUUUAAAAGUAAGUCUUUCACCACUGAAACAACAUCUAUUUUAGAGGCCUAUGCUUCUGCAGUUAAUAUUAAGAUUGGUGAUAAUGACAUGGAAAAAACAAGAUUAUUAGUGAUAUCAUUAGAAGUGAGACUGAAAAAUGCCUUAUGUUUGCUUCUCAGAACCCUGAAAUUUCUCUACAUGACAAUUUAGACUCUGAGAUUAAUGUUUAUACUGGAGUUUGUACUCCAAAAAAGGCAUUCCAUGCACAAACACACCAGGGGGCACUGCUGGUGUUGUGGGUGUCUCAGGGGAUGCUGUGAGAGGUGGACUUUUUAGUCUAAUACAUCCCUUUAAGAUUCCAUGAUUGGGAUCUUUUGGAACAUUAGAGGUUUAGGCCAAAAGGGGGAAUUACAGUGCCUGUCUGACCUAGUUCACAAGUAUAAGCCUGAUUUUUUAGGUUUUCAAGAAAUUAAGAGGGAAAGCCUAUCUGACUCAUUCCUCAAUACCUUAGCUGGCUCCACUUCUUAUGAGUGGAAUAUGCUGCCUGCAGUAGGCUCUGCUGGAGGUAUCCUUGUGGGUACUAACACCACUUGCUUUGAGGUCCUGGAUGUUAGUAUUAAGAAAUUUUGUAUUAUUUUGUCCUUAAAAAAUAAAUCUGAUGGAUUUUGCUGGCAUCUGAUUGUGGUUUAUGGGACAGCAUAUGCUGUAGGUAAACUGGAUUUUAUUGCUGAAUUGUAUGAAUGCAUGUAUGGGUUAUGCUAUCCUGUUCUGUUUGGGGGGACUUUAACCUGAUCAGGGAGGCUAAGGACAAAACCUCUAGCAAUAUUAAUACUUCCUAGGCAUUCUUGUUCAAUGAUUGGAUAAAUAAGUGGGGUCUAAUGGAAUAUAAGCUGUCAAACAGGGUUUUUACCUGGAGUAACAAUCAGGACAACCGCAUUCUUGUAACUAUUGACAGAGUUUUCUCUUCCACUAAUUGGUAUUGUCACUUCCCACUCACCACAUUAUGUGCCCUGCCUAGGGUGGGGAGUGAUCAUGCCCCUAUUUUACUGGAUUCUGGUGUAAGUAUGUGUAACCCAGCCAAACCUUUCAAAUUUCAGAAGUGGUGGCUUGAGCAACCAGGUUUUCAAGCCUUAGCAGAGAAAAUUUGGGCCACACCUUCACCAUUUACAACAGCUAUUGGGACCUGGCAAUUUAAAACAAAACUAUUUAGGAAACUUGUUAAAGGUUGGAGUAUUAACCUGGAAGCUGCUAUGAAGAAGAAAAAAGAAGGAUUUACUUCAGGAGUUUGAUAUCUUGAAUGUCUUUUCUGAGCAAAAUAGAACUGAUGCUGGGGAUAUCCUCAGGAUGAAACAAAUUAGGGGAGAGAUGGAGGAAAUUUGGAAAAAAGAGGAAACUGCCAUGUGGCAGAGAUCUAGAGAUAGGAAGAUCAAAGAGGAAGAUAGGAACACAACAUAUUUUCAUGUUGUUGCCAACCAAAAGAGGAGGAAAAACCGGCUAUCUAUUUUGGAAGGUCCAAAUGGACCUGUAUACUCCACUAAACACAUGCUGGAAGUUGCUACCAGCUUUUAUAAAAACCUCUUUGGAUAUGAACUCAGACCCAGUGUUCAUUUAGAUGACCAUUUUUGGUCUGAGGAAGAGCUUGUGACAGAUACAGAAAACGCCAUGCUUGAGAGGCCAUUUUCAGAAGAGGAAAUUAAGGAAGCUAUUAUGAGCUCCUAUGCUAAUGGGGCCCCUGGUCCUGAUGGCCUCUCAUUUCUGUUCUAUCAACACUUUUGGGAGGUUAUCAAAAAGGAUUUUAUGGCUCUGGUGAAGGAUUUUGAAAAUGGGGUUUUAGAUAUCCAAAGACUAAAUUACUCUAUUGUUACUCUUAUUCCUAAAGAACCAGAUGCCAAAGAGAUGAGGAAAUUCAGGCCCAUUUGUUUAAGUAACUGUUCUGUGAAAAUCUUUAGUAAAGCUAUGACAAAUAGGGUUGCCCCUAUGGGCCAUAGGCUUCUGUCACCUUGUCAGUCUGCUUUUGUGAGAGGAAGGUUUAUCCUUGAGAGUGUGGUUACUGCCCAUGAGGACAUACAUGAAGUUCACAAGUCAAGAGACCCUGGAAUUGUGCUUAAGUUGGAUUAUGAAAAAGCCUACGAUCGUGUGAACUGGGAUUUCCUAGUAGAAAUGUUAACCUCUAGGGGCUUUGGAGCUCAGUGGAUUCGGUGGAAACUCUACAUUUUGCAACAAAGCUCUUUAAGUGUCAAGAUUAAUGAUGUCCUAGGCCCUUACUUUGUAGGGGGAAAAGGGCUCAAACAAGGAGACCCAAGCUCCCCGAUGCUUUUCAACUUGGUAGCCGAUGUGUUCUCUCGUAUGCUGGUUAAGGCUGUCAACAAUAACAUAAUUGCUGGGAUUGUUCCUCAUAUCAUCCCACAGGGGCUGAUAUGUUUACAGUAUGCUGAUGAUACAAUCCUUUUCCUUAAUCCUAAACCUGAGUAUGUUAGAAACUUAAAAUGGCUACUAGCUUGUUUUGAAAACCUUUAUGGGUUGAAAAUUAAUUAUGACAAGUGUGAGGUGGUUCCAAUUAAUAUGAAUGAAGAUGAUGCUAAAAUUUUAUCACAAAUUUUCCACUGUAAGUUGGGGGAUUUCCCCCUUAAAUAUCUUGGGGUUCCUUUACACUACCUCAAGCUGAGGACGGAGGACAUUCAAUACAUCAUAGACAAGAUUAUUAAAAGAAUUUGUGGUUGGAAAGGGAGGCUACUUAGCUAUGAAGCAAAGUUGGUUCUCCUCAAAGCCUGUAUUGCUAUUAUACCUAUGUAUUUGAUGUCUAUUAUUAAAUUUCCUAAAUGGGCAAUUAAUGUUAUCACUUCACAGAUGGCUCAUUUCUUCUGGGGGAACCUAGGGGAUGACCAUAAAUACCAUCUUGCUAACUGGGGCCUAAUUUCACAGAAAAAAGAUUUUGGUGGUUUGGGGGUGCCCAAUUUAAGAGAAUUUAACAUGGCUUUGCUGGCUUCUUGGGCUAAAAGAUAUUUCAUGGAUAGUGAUAAAAAUUGGGUUAGAUUGGUAGAUCAUAAGUAUCGAACCAACAAACCUAAUUUUUUGUGGUCCAAACAGAGAGUGGGGUCACCUUUUUGAAGGGUGUUACUUGGGAUUUUGAAGGGAUAAGACCUUUUUUUAAAUGGAACUUAGGCAAUGGUGACAAAAUUAGCUUCUGGGAUGGCACUUGGGUGGGGGAUUCUUCCUUGAAAACACAAUUUUGGGAGGUUUAUGAAAUCUGCCAACAGCAACAGUGUUCAGUUUCGGUGGUAUGGGAUGGCCUCAACCUAAAACUUACUUUCAGUAGAUGUGUGGGGACUGAUUUCAUGGAGAGAUGACGUGACCUGAUCCGAGUCAUCUCUACCAAAACCCUGUCUAACGAGGAGGACCAACCUGUUUGGUUAUUAGAAACAUCAGGGACUUACUCGGUUAAAUCCUUUUAUUCCAUGAUUAACUGGGGUGGGGUUUCUACUCCUGUCUGGAAAAACUUUUGCAAGAUUGUUGUACCUCACAGGUAUCUAGUCUUUUUGUGGCUAGCUUUUAAUAAUAAAAUUCUCACUAGGGAUAAUUUGAACAAAAUAAGGGUGGUGGAUAAUUUAAAAUGCUUAUUCUGUGAUGAGGAGGAAUCAAUUUGCCACCUGUUCUUUGAAUGUGUAGUUGCCAGACAGGUUUGGAGUGAUGUGGCUGACUCUUUUGAGUUCAGUAUCCCUAAUAACAUGGCUGAAUUGUCCUCUUUUUGGAAUGUGAAUAAUAAGAAAUAUGUUGUCAAUAUUGCAUGUGUUGCUACUAUUUGGAGCAUUUGGACUAUGCGUAACGAUAUGUGUUCUCAGGGUAUACCAUGGACAAGCACCCGUGCAAUAUUGGCAAGGAUCAGCACAUUGCUGCAUCAAUGGAAGAUUCUCUGUGGAGGCGAUCAAUCGGUCCUGCUGAGAAGAUGCCUCCAACUUCUGGAUCGGCGAAGAGGAGAGCUGCUUAGGAUUGCCUAGGUGUGGGCCUGAGAGCGUGCGCGAAGAAGAACGGAGGUGGGACGCUGAAGGCUCACUCAGAGUGAUGAUGGAGAAAAGCAGAGAUCUCCCCCUUCGUCCUACUCCUGCCGCGACUCAGAUGGUGACUUAUGUCUAGCCUUGCAUGGCUUCAAAAAAAAGACGUUAGGUUUCCUUUUGGUAACUUUGAUUCAGUCUGGUCUGCAUCUAAAACUUCUAGGGAUGUAGAUCUUUCUGUUUUCUGGUCUGUUACUUCUGGCAGACCCGGUUGCUUGUAACAGUCUUGAUGACUUGCAUUGCUCCGUUUAUAUAAAAAUGGGGCGGAGGAAACCCCUUUUGAUAAAAAAAAUGCCGUUGCAAAGGACAGUGUUCUUCUGGGGCUGUGUGCUUGGUACAAAAUGGAUAGUCAGGCGUACAGAUCCUGGCAUGCCUACUCCGAGCCCAAGUCCAAUACGGUCUCGAUCGACCAUGAUAACGAUUGGGAUACAACGGUACAAUGUUAUUAGGCUGCCCGUAAUAGGAGUAUCAUAGAUAGUAUCAUGCAUGCCAACUAAGCAAUUUUGAUGAAGUGACAUAGAAUUAAAUGAAGAAAGAGAGGCUUGAGUAUCAUAUCAUGAUACCGUAUCAUAUUAAAUGGUGUGCUACUAUGUGUCAUGCAUGGCAAUAAAUGUAAUCCUCUAUGAUACCAACAUAUGAUAUUAUGCAUUAGUUGGCAUGAUACUAAUAUAUGAUACUAGUAUAUGAUACUCCCCAUUACAAUCAGCCUUAUGUAAAUACACCCAGCCAGGAGCUAGCUUGGUUGGUCGACUCCAUAAUCUGUUUCCUCAGUUCUGUCGCCGGCUCCCGCCCCAAUGGACGCCGUCGCCGACGGAAACGGCCUGUGCCUCCCCUAUGAUGUACUCCGUGAUGUCCUCCGCCGCCUCCCGCCCCGCGCCGUCGCCCAGUUCCGGACCGUCUGCCGCGCUUGGUGGACAAUCAUUGACGGCCAUGGCCUGCUACCACGCUUCUUCACAUCACGGGUCUUCCCAUGCAUUUUCACCAAUCAUAUUAGAUUUUUUGGGAAAAGGGAGACAUCCCCGGCCUCUGCAUCGGAUAGAUGCAUAUGGCUACCUUUAUUAAACAAGCAAAUAGGUUCAACACAAGUCUAAAAGUCUCAAACAAAGCUGCUCACAUGGAGCUAAGGAAGAAAAACAAAUGACACAGCCGGCCGGCAAGAGAAAGACAGUAAAACUAAUUGCCUAUCCUAUUACAUGACCGCCAUCCAAACCGGCUGAAAAUAUCCCGUGCAACCAUCUCCCAUCGGACAGAUCCAAUAACCGAACCCUCCCUGGCCUCCGUCGGAGUGAGUAAUGACCACAUACGGAUCAAAGCAGUGGCUCGGAAUAUAACCUGCAAAAAAUGAGUAUUUGAUUUUCUGUUAAAGACUAAAUCAUUUCUGCAAUUCCAGAUAACCCAUAAUAACGCACAUACUCCUACACGAAUGUGUCUUGCUGUUUGGGGCUCAAUACCAUCCAACCAUGUUCCAAAUAACGUGUUAAUAUUAUGUGGAGGAGUAAUAUUAAAGGCUGUGGUCACUGAUUUCCAUAGAAUUUUUGCCAUAGGAUAAUCGAGAAAGAGGUGCUUUAUAGUUUCAUCUGUAUCACAAAAGCUACACCGACCGGAUCCAGUCCAAUUGCGUUUAAUCAAGUUAUCCUUUGUUAAAAUGACUGGUUUAUGCACAAACCACAUGAACACUUUAACUCUCAAGGGAACUUUGACAUGCCAAACAUGUUUCGACGUAGGAAUAUAACUAGAAUUAAUAACAUCCAAGUACAUGGAUUUAAUCGUAAAUUCUCCAUUCCUCGUAAGCUUCCAACACAACCGAUCUAGACGUUGAGAAAGUUGAACCUCCAUCAGUCUUCUCACAAGAUGGAGCCAAGCUUCCCAACGGUUACCGGCUAAAGCUCUCCUGAAGCUAAUAUGUAAAGGCGUGGACUGACAUACCAUCUCAAUGAUCGCAUCUCUUUGUUGAACAAUACUAUAGAGAGAAGGAUACUGAACCACCAAUGACGUAUCCCCUAGCCAAGUAUCCUCCCAGAAUCUUGUAGAAGUACCGUUACCGAUAACCACCUUGGUCUGGUUAAAGAAGAGCGAUUUAACUCGCAUCAGGCCUUUCCAGAAAGGCGAAUCCAUCGGCCUCACCGUCACCUGGGAUAAGGUCUUGGAAUGAAGGUACUUAUUACGCAGAAUCUAGGCCCAAGUGGCCUCGGUCUCUCGAGAAAGCUUAUAUAGCCAUUUACUGAGGACACAUUUGUUCUUUACCUCAAGAUUUUCGAUACCAAGACCCCCUUGAUCCUUUGGUCGACAAAUAAUGUCCCAUCUAGCUAUUCUAUACUUUCUCUUCAACUCAUCACUUUGCCAGAAAAAAUGAGAUCGAUAGAAAUCGAGUCUUUUCCAAACUCCCACUGGCACUUUGAAAAAAGACAAAAGGAACAUGGGCAUACUGGUGAGCACCGAAUUAAUAAGAACUAACUGGCCUCCAUAUGACAUCCGUUUGCCCUUCCAGCAUCCCAAUUUCUUCUCAAAGCGAUCCUCAAUGCACUUCCAUUCGCUAUUUGUUAGCUUACGGUGAUGAAUGGGUAUACCUAAAUACAUAAAAGGUAAAGCCCCUAAUUCGCACACGAACAAUUUCUUAUAUGCCUCUUGUUCCUCCUUGGCUCUACCAAAGCAGAACAAUUCACUCUUGUGAAAAUUAAUUUUCAGACCAGACAAUUGUUCGAACAAGCAUAACACCAGCUUCAUGUUUCGCGCCUUCGCCAAGUCAUGCUCCAUAAAGAUGAUAGUAUCAUCAGCGUACUGUAGGACAGAUACACCUCCAUCAACUAGAUGAGGUACCAAGCUACCUACAUGUCUAGCAUCCUUAGCCCUCCCUAUUAGAAUUGUCAACAUGUCAACUACAAUGUUGAACAUAAUAGGUGACAUUGGAUCUCCUUGUCUCAGGCCUUAUGUGUUUGGAAAUAAUGACCUAUGUCAUCAUUCACUUUGAUUCCAACACUGCCUUGUUGUGUGAAAGAUUAUAUCUGUCUUCGCCAAGCUAGAUCAAAACCUUUCAUCCUCAAUGCCUGUUGAAGGAAUGGCCAUUUGACUUUGUCGUACGCUUUUUCAAAAUCCACUUUGAAAACCACUCCAUCUAGUUUUUUUGUAUGGAUUUCAUGGAGCAUUUCAUGCAGGACCACCACCCCUUCAAGAAUGUUCCUAUUCGGCAUGAAAGCAGUUUGGGAUGGCUGCACCACAGAAUGCGCAAUCUACGUGAGUCUAUUAGUCCCAACCUUGGUGAAGAUUUUGAAACUUACAUUCAAAAGACAGAUGGGCCUAAACUGCUCAAUUUGGACCGCCUCUGUUUUCUUAGGCAACAAAGUAAUAGUUCCAAAAUUCAGAUGAAACAAUUGAAGCUGUCCAGCGAAUAAGUCGUGGAACAUCGGAAGCAAGUCCCCUUUAAUAAUAUGCCAGCAUAUCUUAUAAAACUCUGCCGGAAAUCCAUCCGGCCCUGGAGCAGAGUUACUCUUCAUUUGAGCAAUAGCUUCAAACACCUCUUUCUCUGAGAAUGGGGCAGUUAAGAUAUCAUUCUCAUCUGAAGCCAACUGGGGGAUAUCCUCAUUCCGCGACUCAUCUAGAGAUACGAAAUUAUCCUGCGGAGGCCCAAAUAAUUUCUUAUAAUAGUCAGUGAUGUAUAGUCUUAAAUUAUCCUGCCCUACAAUCGUCCCUUCAUCUUGCUCAAGCUGAAAGAUCCUUUUCUUUGUGUGCUUGCCAUUAGCGAUCAUAUGAAAAACUGAGUGUUGGCAUCCCCUGGGCCACUUUGCGUACCUUCGCCCGCAAUGCCCACUUCAGUUCUUCUUCUCGCAGAAGCUCUUUCAACCUCAUCUCCGCAUCUAGCUUAACAUGAAAUUCUGUUGGAUCUAGGAUUGUGCACUCGGCUUUUACAUCUAAGGCCUGAAUAAGGGAAAGGAGCCUUUCCUUUUCGACCUUAUACACCCCACUAAGAUGCUUAGCCCACCCUCGUAAGAAACUUCACAGGUGACGAAUCUUAUUCUGCCACCUCUCUAUUGGAGUUCUGCCUCCUGAAUUUUUAGCCCAUUCCCUGGCUAUAAGAUCCAAAAAACCUUCUCUCUCAUACCAUGCUAGUUCAAAAGAAAAGACAUUCGUGUUCCCCACGUUUGUUGCCUCACCAGAGUCAACCAGCAACGGGGCGUGGUCCGAAAUUCCGCACGAUAACGGCUGUACGGUGACUAUAGGAAACUUUUGUUCCCAGUCAAUGCUCGUGAGGACACAGUCAAGCUUCUCAAAAGUAGGAGUAGGCAAAGAAUUAGCCCAUGUGAAUUUUCUGCCCGAAAGCUCUAUCUUUCUCAGAUCCAAGCUUUCAAUAAUUGUGUUAAACAUAAAUGACCAUCUGGCAUCAAAAUUGUCAUUGUUCUUUUUGUCCCUCCUUCUAAUGAUAUUGAAGUCGCCCCCUACUAAGAUUGGAAGCUGCUCAGAUUCGCAAAUACGGACUAGAUCCGCCAGAAAGUCUGGUAUUAAUUCUGGCUGUGCGGCACCAUAUACCGCCACCAAGGCCCAAUUAAAUCCGCCGAUCUUAGACCUAACCCUAAAUUUGACAGCGAAAUCUCCCAUGACCACACUCCGGACUUCCAGCGUCUCACAUCUAACCCCAAGUAAGAUGCCGCCUGAUCUUCCUCUCGGAGGUAGACAAUGCCAAUCAAAAUUGGCCCCUCCCGACAACGUAUUAAGGAAUUGAGGCGCAAAAUUGCCUCUUUCGGUUUCCGAAAGAGCAAUAAAGUCCAGCCUCUAUUCGAUCGAAGCCUCUGCUAGAAAACGUCUUUUAGCCAAGUCCGUCAGAUCUCUGCUAUUCCAAAAAAUUCCUCUCAUAACUCAUCAUGAUUUUUUUUGGUCAUCUGGUUCCUAGCACUUCUACGCACUGCUGAAGUCAGGUAGAUCUUGCGUUGCCACUUGCGCUUAGGUUUGGGUAUAUCCACCACUCGGUCCUCACAACCAGUGUCAGGGAGUCCCUCGGAAAGGUCCUCUAUAGGUUCGUCAUCCCCAAUCGUUAAAGAACCAUCCUCCUCCCCUGUCUUAGGGGGAGCGGGUAAUAUCUGGACAAAGCGAAUCUAACACCCUAACUCCCAACUGUGCAAUCUAAGAAUCGUUCAUAGGUUUAACCGCUGCUAGAUUACGAAUCAUGUCUAAAGCACGAUCCGCUUCAAGAUACAAGAUAUCAUUGACUGAAUGCGAGAUUUCAUUAUCAUUACUACCAAGUGAAACACCUAAAUGGUUUGCAUUAUGAAUAAUCUCAACAUCAGAAAAAUACAGAAUAGAGUUGGAGGUGUUGACCGACAUACCAGUAGUGACCUCCAGAUCACGAAGCUUGGCCGCCCACUUGGUGCACCUCAGCUGCAUGUCAUCAACCUCCGGCUGGUCCUGGAGGCGACAGCUCAUCCGCCGCCCCUGAGACACAGGAUCCAGGAUCCCUUCAAAAGCGAUGACCUCCUCCCUAGAAGCAUGGAUAGGGGUCGGACCUCCCGCCUCACCCCCACCACUCGGAAGACGAGGAGCCUCCUGCCCCGACCUCGGCGCCGAUACCGACAUGCGCACAGGGGAAGGGAUAUGAGGGGCCACUUGCCCCCCUCCUCACCGAGCCGAGCUGCCAGGCCUGCGGGUGAAGCGCCCAAGCAAGAUGGCGCCGGCGAUCGCGACCCAUGAGGCGGAUCAAGGGAUAGCCUGCCCUCAGCGCCAUCUGACGCUGUAGAAGAAGACUGCGUAGCCACCACAGGAGAGGAAAGACCCAAGGCCUCCUGCCCUGGUCUCCCUCUCACCGCCGACACGACGGCAGUGGGCAGUGGAGAUCCCUCCCCUAUGGUCCUCGACCGAGGAGAAGCAACAGGAGAAGAAGGGGAAGAGGGGGCCUCCUGCCCACUAUCCCCGCCUCUCUCGGCAAUGUCUUCAAACCCUACAAAGUCUAAGGGUGGUAGCGUGCCCUAUAGCACAUCCUCAGACUCCACCUGACCGCUCCAGAGUCUCGGAGGAGCGGAUGCAGGCUCAAACGAUCCGAAUCUCAAAGUGCUCAUAGGCGUCGAAACCGAAGGGGCCGCCCCAGACCCAGGCGCCUGCGAGGUGGAACUCGGCCCGUUGGCCAACUGAUGCUCAACCUCAUCCCCUCGCGAUUCCGUGUUACCCGAACCAUCAUCCUUAUCCUGCAUAUCCACAUCCGCCCCUGCCAUAGCCUCCACAAAAAGAUCUGAGUCCUCAAACUCUAUCUCAAGGUUGAAAACCUCGCCCUUAUAAGUCCACUUGACCACGUUAGGUACAAGCUCAAUAUCAAGGAUACUCACCAGUAAGCGUGCCACUCCAUUAGCUCUGGUGAAAGCCAUAUCCACCUUCUCAGUUUUCCCAACCAGCAUUCCCAAGCUAGCAGCAACUCGGGCAUCAUGAAGCGGCUUGCAAGGCGCCCUAGAGAAACGCAACCAAACCUGAGUGAGGGGCUUGCCCUGCGGCUCAACUCGUUUCCACUCAUGGAACUCGAGGAUACACUCAGUACCAGGGACUCUGCAUAACCCAAAACUGAGCAUGCGCUCCAAGUCCUCCAAGGUCAGAAAGUCAACCUUAUAAGAAUUAUCCUCCAGGCGACUAAGUUCCCACACAAAGUUAUCUGGUAUUAACUCAGAAAAACUGUGAAUAACCUGUGCCUUGAUACGUCUCCAACGUAUCUAUAAUUUUUGAUUGCUCCAUGCUAUAUUAUCUACUGUUUUGGACUAUAUUGGGCUUUAUUUUCCACUUUUAUAUUAUUUUUGGGACUAACCUAUUAACCGGAGGCCCAGCCCAGAAUUGCUGUUUUUUUGCCUAUUUCAGUGUUUAGAAGAAACGGAAUAUCAAACAGAGUCCAAACGGAAUAAAAUCUUCGGGAACGCGAUUUUCUCACCGAACGUGAUCCAGGAGACUUGGACCCUGCUCCAAGGAACAAAAGAGGCGGUCACGAGGGUGGGGGGCGCCCCUCCCUAGGGCACGCCCCCUACCUCGUGGGCCCCUCGUUGAUCACUACAAGAAAUAUGUCAACUUAUGACCACCACUAUUGGUCACUGAAAGGUCACAAAUUUCCAUUUAUGACCUUUUUGUGACCAAAAACAUAAGGUCAAAAGCUGGGCGUCGUAAACUGACUAUAGCGACCUUUCUUCUGGAAUGGUCGCAAACGUUUAUGACCAAAAUACGUCUACUGUGGCGUUUUGGUCACUAGCAACCUCCCCAGGCCACGUAGGCAUCCAGCGUGGCAAGCUGAUGUGGCACAAGAUUCAGCCCAGUCCAAUUCGAUUUUCUACAUGGGCCUAGCCCAACAAUUCGGCCUUUUUACUGUAUUUUUUUCCUGUGCUUUUAUUAGCUACAUGGGUCUGGCCCAACAAUUCAGCCUUAUUAAUUUCUUUGCAUGGCCCUUUUAAUAGCAUAUUUUCUUUUUGAUCAUGAAUUUUUCUGGGCCAUUUCUUUGUUGGGCCUCUCAUGUUUUUUAUAUGUAUCAUGGGUCCACUAGUCAAAUGGAUCCCAAUUAUCAUGUUCUCAUAAGUGGGUCCAAGUUGUUAGGUUCUAACAAGUGGGUCCGACUUGUCAGGGCCAUAUUCCUCAUUUCAUUUUGACAGUAAAUAAAUAACCAAUAUUUAAAUUGGCACCGACAAAAUACACAUAUAAUACUUCAAAUAACAACAACCAGAUUCAGUAUAGAGCCAGAUUCUGUAUGGAGCUCCUGCUCUACAAAUAACACGCAAUACAAUGGUGCUCCUGCUCUACAAAUAACUCUACAAGUGGAGUAACUAAUUUAUAAGCUCUACAAGCACUAUAUUCUUCAGGAUGGAUCUCCUUCGAUAGCAUUACAAACAGGCAAAUGCACCUGCUCCUGCCAUAGUCAGGACUGAGCUAAUACGGUCGCCCUGUUACAUGAAUCAGGAGAGAAGAAUCAGAAAACUGGAGCCAAUAUAUUAUGAAGAGACCAUUCAAUAAAAAGGACAAGUUCUUCAGAAUGAUAACACAAAUUCAGCUAGCACAAUGCUUUUAGAAGUUACAAAAAAAACGAUUACUACAUGGCAGAUGAUCAUGAAGAGUAUAAACACAUCUUAAAUCUUACUUGUAAAAACAGAAUACAUUAGUGCAGGGGAGUUCAGGCAGAAAACAUACUACCAUAGUGUGCCCCUGGUUAGCCCGAAUCAGUAGCUCGCCAUACUCCUCCAAUAGACUGAACCUCUACUUGCUGUCUCUCCUGACCGCCUACACGCGAGAAGGCAAAAAAACAUUUACUUAAAGCAUCUUACAAUUCACAACAAGUUCGAGACUGACCCAAUUAAUUUUACAGCAUAUAGAGAUUUCACAAUCAACGGUCAUGGUGCUAGGCUGCUAGCUAUCAAGAUGAAAACAACAUGUAGCAGAUACAUUGUACAAACAGGAAUUCGGCUGAAAUCCUAGGUCACAAACCCGCAACAUCGCAUUAACACUGCGUGUGCAAUGAUUUGGCUAACAAGUGCAAACAACACGAAACACAUACUGUAGCACAACUAAGAACAACACAGGCCAUAGAAAUAAUAUAACCAGUCAAGGGCAGCUCUAAGCAAGCAUAGUUGCACAUGCAAAUUCAACUGUCUAGUUAAAUGCUCUACAGGUCUUCUAAAUUGCUCGACAGAUAAAAACAGCGCAAAAUACUUCAUGAAAGCACGAAAUCAUUACAUUGUACUGGUACUGAAACAGAAACAGGAACAAAUCGAGCAUCGGCUCCAACGCAGAUCGGGAAUACAGCAAUACAGUAUCAAAAAUAAAUUACUAGAAUACAUAGAAAUUCCAUGCAAAUGAGUAAUUCCAUAAUAUAGUUUCUUUUUUUGAAGAGUUGCAUAUCACAAUAAAAACAGAUACAAUGUUUAAUUGCCCGAGGCCAGAACAGUAUAGUAAAGAACACAGAACAUUCAAGGCAUGCAUACAUUAUUAAUUAAAAGAGAGGAUCUAUCAAUAAGGAUGAGUUAACCCAUGCAUUCCUUACAUAUGAGAGCAUUAGAAUACAGUUAACAAAUGCACUUUCACUGUCAAAUCUGAAGUAAUACAACCAAUCAUAGUUAAAAUGGCUGGGAUGUAACUCAUAUCUAUACGCAGGUCACAUACUAGCAUAGAUCUUAAACGAGCUGAGUUAAGGAAAAAUUAAUGACUGAAACAAUUCUAACAGCAAGCUGGUUAAGCGGUGCAGCCUUCCAGGUACCAUUGCAUACCCAACUUAUAAUAUUGCCAUCAAACUUCCACAUAAAUGACAAGUCAAACAUGCUGAUGGACAACAGAAUUUAGCUCAUACAAUGCAAAACUAUUGUACACAAAACCACAGUUUGGAUCUAUCUAGCAAACCGUUUUAAGAACAAAUCACAUCAAGACAUGGACAGUAAAGGCAAUCAUUUUAGAAGGCUUGGACUGCAUAUACAAGUUGAUAAUGGAACUAACAGAGUUUAGCUUAUGUAGUUCAAGAAUUAUACUCCCUCCGUCCGAAAAUAAGUGACUCAACUUUGUACUAACUUUGUACUAAAGCUAGUACAAAGUUGAGUCACUUAUUUUGGGACGGCACUUGACAUUGGAACGCUAGCACGUGGAAAUUAGAGGAACUGAAACUGCAUCCACCGGGCAGAACCAGCUGUGCAUGGCUGUUGCAGCAGAAAAAGACUGCCUCAGUCAACCUAUUAUUUUGCUUGGGAUGAGGAUGAUCUACAAAAAUGAGUAAGAUAUUAUUGGCAUCAGCUGAACUAGCAGUAGUGCAUCUAACUGAGAUACGGAUAAAGACAGGUAAAAGCUGAGACAAAGUAGCUACUGGCCUGCUACAUCAAGGAAUCCCUCUCUGUCUCUCUGCUUGCAUGUUUGCAAGCACACGAGGGAAAACUAACAAGCUACCAGUACAAACCUAAUAAAUAACAAACAGAGGAGGCUCCACGUCCAAGGCCACCAGAUGAUUAGCAUCUCCACCAGACGAUCUACAAUCACAAGUCCAAGGCCACCAGAUGAUUAGCAGUGGCUCGACUAAUCAACUAUUCACUACUGGAGUAAUGAUUACCAAGUUAUCCGUCACAUCUUGCUGUUGGCAACAUCACACAAGAACCAGAGUGUCGUCGUCCACCUCGCCCUUGAGGUCAAGCAGCUCGAAGAUGAGGCUCCACGUCGCGUGCACAGCUACAAAUUAACGCAUGCAUAUGGAUCAGUACAGGAACGCCCCAACCAAAAGCGGAAUGGGAGGAUCAGAGAAAGCAAGAGAAGGUGGAGGAUGUGUGCAGGGAGGGGGGAAUGUUAGUACCUGGAACCGGACGAAGAAGGUGGAAGACGGCUGCGUGAGAAUCCUCUCGGUGCCGCCGCACCCUCCUAGUGAGUGCAGAUCCGGGGCCUCACUUGGUCACGACCAGAUGUGACCCUUGUUGAGGACGUGGCCGAUACCCGCGAGGACGAGCAAGAUGCAGCUCGUCGUGGAUCUGGGAGGGCCACUGCGUCACCUGCUCGAUCCGGGAGCGUUGGUGGUGCAUGCACCUGCGUGAGGAGGGAAGACACAGCACGUAAGGUAGAGUAAGGGAAGCCGAGGGGAGAACAGCAAAUCGACAUAUUGCCUUACCUAUACGAGCAGCAGAAGCACGCGCGGAUGGCGUCGUCGAUCGAGCGGAAGCAGACGUGGGGAUGCAGCCAACUCGCCAUGGAGAUGGAGCACCAGGUCCAACCCAUGGGCGGAUCUGGAAGCCGAUGCCAUGGAGGAGAUGAGCUCCAGGUCCAGCCCCUGGGCGGAUCUAGGAAUGGUCGGGGAGAGGUCGACGGCGGGGUGGUGCGGCCGCCGUGGGCGAGGAUGACGGCGGGGUGGUGGCGGCCGCCGUGGGCGAGAUCGACGGCGGGUUGGGGGCGGCGGUUGUGGACAAGCACGGUGGAUCCGGGCGGGGCUGGGGACGGGACCGGGGGAGGAUGGUAUCUACACGAGGCCAUCGCCGGGGUUUGUGGCAUGGUGGAGGCGGCCAUGAGGAGGGAAGGAGGAGAAGGCGAGGGAGAGAGGGCGCCGCCGCCGGCGAUGGGAAGCUAGGGUUAGAGAGGGGUGGCGGCGUCGAUCUGGAUCGGAUCAAGAUCUGAGGGAGGGAGAGGGCGGCGGCUGUGGGAGCGGGUUGUGUUAGGUCUAGUUAGGUGAGACGGUGGGGAGUCAAGUCUGCUGUUAGACCAGGGACGAUCGGACGGUUCAGAUCGCCUACGGUAGGGUAAUCCGGGAGAGACGUCCUGAUUGGUUGAAGACUAUGGCUGUAAUUUAGAAUAUAGUCUUUAAGUGCUAAAAACAAAGGGGUUUAUGAAGCAACUACCAAUAAUAUUUUGCAAAAUGGAACCACUAAAAUUUUCACUCAAGUUACACCACAUUUUAUGGAUGAUGAUAACCAACUUGUAUGCAUUUCCAAUCAUUCUAGCCUUUUUUGGCCAUUUAAGUUUUGUAAGAUUCCAUCCGCAGCUACGAACGGUUACGCCCAUGGUUUUAAUCGUGUUUUGAAAUUGGCAUAAAGAAUUAAAGAAAUCAAAAAUGGAAAGCCUUUGCAUUGUGUGAUCUAGUGUCUAGGAAAAAACAAACUUCUAACACGAUAAUUACUUUUAAAAAGUCUACUUAAAUAGUCAAUCUUAUGGUCACAUUCUUGGCAUAGUCUACUCAAAUGACCUCAUAUCAUGCACAAGGGUGCAUCCUGGAAUGGCAAACAAUUUUGCCUAAGGAAUCUUUUAUUUUCUUUGGACGAAAAAUCAGUUUUCCAUUUUUUCGAUUGCCCAAAAUGAGUUUUUUCGUGAAGGGCCUACCAUAUAUUUGUUGCAAAAUUGUACCUAAUCAAUUUUAUAAAAUACUAGGCCAUAUAUAAUGCACAAUUGACCAAAUGGUCGGGUGUAAAAAGUUUUGAUCCACCUCUAGUGAAAAAGACAAAUUCCCGCUGAUUCAGUAGGAAGCGGGUCAAAUUUGAACUGUAGCUACCUCGUAGUUUGCUAUUUAUUUUUUCCAAAAAUCAUUUCUAGGGACAUAAGUAUCUAUUUAAUCAGAGAAAUACCAAAAAAAUUCCAAGAUUCAACCACUACCUAGGAACGGUCAAGCCCGCUGUUUUGACCGCAUUUUGAAAUGGGCAUAAAAAAUUCAAAAAAAUUUAAAAAAUUGGGAAAACUUCGCAUUGUGUCAUUAUAUGUGACCAAGUUUUCAGGAAAAAUAAUAAACUUGUAAUACGAUGUUGCCUAAGGAAGUUUUCAUUUAUUUUGGACGAAAAAAUCAUUUUCCAUUUUCAGAGUGCCCAAAAUGAGUUUUUUUGUGAAGGACCUACCAAAUAAUUGUUGCAACUUUGGACCAAAUGAAUUUUAUAAAAUACUAGGCCAUAUUUAAUGCACAAUUUACCAAAUAGUUGGGUGUCACAAGCUUUGAUCCACCUCUGGUGAAAAAGACAAAUUUCUGCCGAUACAGCUGGAAGCGGGUCAAAUUUGAACUGCAGCUGCCUCAUAGUUUGCUAUUUAUUUUUUUCCAAAAAUCAUUUCUAGGUACAUAAGUAUCUAUUUAAUCAGAGAAACACCAAAAAAUUUCCAAGAUUCAACCACUAGCUAGGAACGGUCAUUCCCGCCGUUUUGACCGCAUUUUGAAACGGGCAUAAAAAAUUCAAAAAAAAUCAAAAAAUUGGGAAACCUUCGCAUUGUGUCAUCAUAUGUGGCCAAGUUCCUAUGAAAAAUAACAAACUUGUAAUACGGCAAUUAUUUUAAAAAAGUGUUCUCAGAAAAGAGCUAUCACGUGUGGAGAUCAAUGGCUUUCAAGCCAAAUGAUCAAUCUUAUGGCCACAUUCAUGGCAUAGUUUGUUCAAAUGAUCUCAUAUUGUGCACAAGGGUGCAUAUUGGAAUGGCAAACAAUGUUGCCUAAGGAAGUUUUCAUUUUCUUUGGACAAAAAAACCAUUUUCCAUUUUUUGAGUGCCCGAAAGGAGGUUUUUUUGUGAAGAACCUCCAAAAUAAUUGUUGCAAAAUUGGACCAAAUCAUUUUUCUAAAAUACUAGGCCAUAUUUAAUGUACAAUUGACAAAAUGGUUGGGUGUAAAAAGUUUUGAUCCACCUCUCAUGAAAAAGACAAAUUUCCGCCGAUUCAGGUGGAAGCAGGUCAAAUUUGAACUGCAGCUUCCUCAUAGUUUGCUAUUUAAUUUUUCCAAAAAUCAUUUCUAGGUACAUAAGUAUCUAUUUAAUCAGAGAAACACCAAAAAAUUUCCAAGAUUCAACCACUAGCUAGGAACGGUCAUUCCCGCCGUUUUGACCGCAUUUUGAAACGGGCAUAAAAAAUUCAAAAAAAAUCAAAAAAUUGGGAAACCUUCGCAUUGUGUCAUCAUAUGUGGCCAAGUUCCUAGGAAAAAUAACAAACUUGUAAUACGGAAAUUAUUUUAAAAAAGUGUUCUUAGAAACGAGCUAUCACGUGUGGAGAUCAAUGGCUUUCAAGCCAAAUGAUCAAUCUUAUGGCCACAUUCAUGGCAUAGUUUGUUCAAAUGAUCUCAUAUUGUGCACAAUAGUGAAUAUUGGAAUGGCAAACAAUGUUGUCUAAGGAAGUUUUCAUUUUCGUUGGAAGAAAAAACCAUUUUCCAUUUUUCGAGUGCCCGAAAGGAGGUUUUUCUGUGAAGGAACUACCAAAUAAUUGUUGCAAAAUUGGACCAAAUCAUUUUUAUAAAAUACUAGGCCAUAUUUAAUGCACAAUUGACAAAAUGGUUGGGUGUAAAUUUUUUUGAUCCACCUCUCGUGAAAAAGACAAAUUUCCGCCGAUUCAGCUGGAAGCGGGUCAAAUUUGAACUGCAGGUGCCUCAUAGUUUGCUAUUUAUUUUUUCCAAAAAUCAUUUCUAGUUACAUAAGGACCUAUUUAAUCAUAAAUACAUGGUUUGGUGGCGAUACGUCGAGGUUUGGGCGGUGGCUGAGGGCCCCAACUCUAAAGCGCGUAAACUCGCAUGCCCGUCGCGUGGUCACCGUGUGACCGUAAUGUUGCCAUGUGUUCUGGGUGGCCUAGGCAUGUCUAGUGGGUUGGGCACUCCCCAGGUUGGUGCUAGGAAUAAAUUUACAAUAUAAGAUUCUCACGAGGAGACCGAUCGAUGCUCAAACAUGAAUUAGCAGCCAAGUGUUUGAUUAGCGGUACGGGAAAUGCACAUGGCCAAUGGGCGUGAGUUUUGGCUGAGGAUGAUCAUCUACUAAGGAGAAUGUCUUCACAAAUUUUGAUCUCAAAAGGAGGAUCCUAGGUGGUACUUGCUUUGCAAAGUACCACGCUGGACAAAAAUAUGAAUGUUGAAGUUGGGCUCAAAGUAAUGAAUGGAGUGAGCUGAAAUUUUGUGGAGGAUGGUUAUUUGGUCAUAGGAAAGCAUUGUAGAAAAUUGAUACCAUUUGGACAUGCCAAAGUAGUACUUCCUUCACAAUGCUCUUCUAUGGACAGAAACUUGGGAAAACUAGUGAGAGAGAUUGGAUGAAUGAAAUGAGCUCAAAAUUGGUGCAGGUAAGUUACUUAGGCAUGGUCAUGCGCUGGUAAAUUUUCAGAUCAUUUGGGUAAGCCUAGCUAGUACUUACUUCACAAAGCUUCUCUCGAGGUAGAAACUUUGGAAAUUUCCCGAGAAAGAUUUACUAGGAAAAUUGAGCUGAAUAUUAUCAUGUGGCAAUGAUUUGGGUAUGGAAGAGUGUCCGAAAAGUUUGAGGGUAAUAGGAGGGGUCUAUAUAACACUUGCUUUGCAACGUGCCAAUUUGGCCAUAAAAUAUAAAUUGAACUUGGGCUCACAUAGAUGAUUUUACUCAGCUGCAAUUUGGAGGAGGGUGAUAAUUUGGGCAUAUGAAGGAACUCUAUAAAUUUCAUGUCAUUUACAGAUAUAAAAAAGGUACUUCCUUCACAAUGCUUCUAGGUGGACAAAAACUUUGGAAAUUUGCCGAAGAAGAUUUGCUAGGCAAAUGGAGCUGAAUUUUGUCAUGCGGUAAUGAUUUGGAUAGGAAAGAGUGCCCAAAAAUUCCGAGGGCAAUCAAGAAUAUAUAAAUAGCACUUUCUUCAUAAAGUGUUGUUGUGAACAGAAUAGGAAAAUGAAUAUUGUUGAAUUAGUUUUGAACUAGGCAAGGAAGGAUUUUUACAUAUUUGAUGAAGAUAUGCCCCAAAGAAUUUAUGAGAUUUUUUGGGGAAUUUAGGGAAUGAUAGUAAUAUAGGUUGCUUCACAACCUAGGGCAAAAACUGCCACAUGGACAUGACACAUAGGCAAAACUGAUGAGAUGGCGCCUAGUCAUCACAACCCACCACAAUCUACAAGGCUAUGACCAUCUAUAUUGGUCAUUAACAACUAGAAAUAAGGCAGCGGACUAGCACUGUUUGCUUUGUGACCAUUUCGUGUAAGGAAAUUACGACCUUUCUGACCAAAAUGGUCACAAUGGUUUAGGGUUUGAAGCCCCCUGAACAGCUUUUGACCAAUUGGUCUAAAAUGGUCAUAAAUUUAUGACCAAUUCUUCGAGGGUCACUGACAGAAGGUCAUAAGUUGACAUAUUUCUUGUAGUGGAUCGAGGAUAACAAGAUGGGGUUUAUUUCAUAUUGCAUGAAUUUAUCUCUCUACAUCAUGUCAUCUUGCUUAAGGCGUUACUAUGUUUUUAACUUAAUACUCUAGAUGCAUGAUGGAUAGCGGUCGAUGAGUGGAGUAAUAGUAGUAGAUGCAGAAUCGUUUCGGUCUACUUGUCACAGACGUGAUGCCUAUAUACAUGAUCAUGCCUAGAUAUUCUCAUAACUAUGCUCAAUUCUGUCAAUUGCUCAACAGUAAUUUGUUCACCCACCGUAGAAUACUUAUGCUCUUGAGAGAAGCCACUAGUGAAACCUAUGGCCCUCGGGUCUAUUCUCAGCAUAUCAAUCUCCAUCACUUUAAUCUUGCUUUGCUUUUUUACUUUGCUUUUACUUUUUACUUUGCAUCUUUAUACCAAAAAUACCAAAAAUAUUAUAUCUAUCAGAUCUCACUCUCGUAAGUGACCGUGAAGGGCUUGACAACCCCUAAUCGCAUUGGUUGCGAGUAGCUAUCGCUUUGUGCAGGUACGAGGGACUUGAGCGUGGGCUCCUACUGGAUUGAUACCUUGGUUCUCAAAAACCGAGGGAAAUACUUACGCUACUCUGCUGCAUCAUCCCUUCCUCUUCGGGGAAAACCAACGCAAGCUCAAGACGUAGCAAGAAGGAUUUCUGGCGCCGUUGCCGGGGAGUCUACGCAAAAAGUCAACAUACCAAGUACCCAUCACAAUCCCUAUCUCUCGCAUUACAUUAUUUGCCAUUUGCCUCUCAUUUUCCUCUCCCCCCAAUUCACCCUUGCCGUUUUAUUCGCCCUCUCUCUCCAUAUCCUCCCUCUCUAUUUGCCCGUUUGUUUUUGUUUGCUCGUGUGUUAGAUUGCUUGCUUGUCGCGAUGGCUCAAGAUACUACUAAAUUGUGUGACUUCACCAAUACCAACAAUAAUGAUUUCCUUAGCACUCUAAUUGCUCCUCUUACCGAUGCUGAAUCUUGUGAAAUUAAUACAGCUUUGUUGAAUCUUGUUCUGAAAGAUCAAUUCGCCGGCCUUCCUAGUGAAGAUGCCGCUACUCAUCUGAAUAGCUUCGUUGAUUUAUGUGAUAUGCAAAAGAAAAAGAUGUCAAUAAUGAUGUCGUUAAAUUGAAGCUAUUUCCUUUUUCGCUUAGAGAUUGUACUAAAGCUUGGUUUUCGUCUUUGCCUAAGAAUAGUAUUGAUUCAUGGAACAAGUGCAAAUAUGCUUUUAUCUCUAAGUAUUUUCCUCCCGCUAAGAUCAUCUCUCUUAGGAACGAUAUUAUGAACUUUAAACAACUUGAUCAUGAACAUGUUGCACAAGCUUGGGAGAGCAUGAAAUUAAUGAUACGUAAUUGCCCUACUCAUGGUUUGAAUUUGUGGAUGAUUAUACAAAAAAAUUAUGCCGGAUUGAAUUUUUCUUCUAGAAAUCUUUUAGAUUCGGCCACGGGAGUCACUUUUAUGGAAAUCACUUUAAUAGAUGCUACUAAACUCCGAGAUAAUAUUAUGGUUAAUUAUUCUCAAUGGCAUACUGAAAGAUCUUCUAAUAAAAAAGUGCAUGCGAUAGAAGAAAUUAAUGUGUUGAGUGGAAAGAUGGAUGAACUUAUGAAAUUAUUUGCUACUAAGAGUGUUUCUUCUGAUCCUAAUGAUAUGCCUUUGUCUACUUUGAUUGAGAAUAACAAUGAAUCUAUGGAUGUGAAUUUUGUUGGUAGGAAUAAUUUUGGUAACAAUGCUUAUAGAGGGAAUUUUAAUCCUAGGCCAUAUCCUAGUAAUCCUUCUAAUAACGAUGGUAAUUCCUACAACAAAUCUUAUGGAAAUUAUAAUAAGAUGCCCUCUGAAUUUGAGAAUAGUGUUAAAGAGUUUAUGAAUUCACAAAAAAAUUUAAUGCUUUGCUUGAGGAGAAAUUGCUUAAAGUUGAUGAUUUGGCUAGAAACGUUGAUAGAAUUUCUCUUGAGGUUGAUUCUUUAAAGCUUAGAUCUAUUCCUCCUAAGCAUGAUAUCAAUGAGUCUCUCAAAGCCAUGAGAAUUUCCAUUGAUGAGUGCAAGAAAAGAACCGCUAGGAUGCGUGCUUCCAAAGAUGCCUUUAUUAAAGCGUGUUCUUCCAAUACCUAUGAAAAUCAAGAUGAAGAUGUAAAGGUUAUUGAUGUGUCUCCUAUUAAAUCUUUAUUUUGCAAUAUGAAUCUUGAUGAAACUGAAUAUGAUCUUCCUUUACCUAGAAGGCGUUCUAAAAAUUUGGAGUAUUUAGAUCUUAAUAAUGAAUUUGAUGAAAGUGGGAUUGAAACAAAUAAAAAUCUAGAUGUUUCUAAACCCACUAUAUUGGAUUUCAAGGAAUUUAAUUAUGAAAGUUGCUAUUUAAUUGAUUGUAUUUCCUUGUUGUAAUCCGUGCUAAAUUCUCCACAUGCUUAUAGUCAAAAUAAAGCCUUCACCGAACAUAUUGUUGAUGCCUUGAUGCAAUCUUAUGAAGAAAAACUUGAGUUGAAAGUUUCUAUCCCUAGAAAACUCUAUGAUGAGUGGGAACCAACUAUUAAAAUUAAAAUUAAAGAUCAUGAGUUUUAUGCUUUGUGUGAUUUGGGUGCUAGUGUCUCUACUAUUCCCAAGACUUUGUAUGAUUUACUAGAUUUCCGUAAUUUUGAUGAUUGCUCUCUAAACUUGCAUCUUGCGGAUUCCACUAUUAAGAAACCUAUGGGAAGGAUUAAUGAUGUUCUUAUUGUUGCAAAUAGGAAUUAUGUGCCUAUAGAUUUCAUUGUUCUUUAUAUAGAUUGCAAUCCUUCUUACCCAAUUAUUCUUGGUAGACCUUUCCUUAGAAAGGUUGGUGCGAUUAUUGAUAUGAAGGAAGGGAAUAUUAGAUUUCAAUUGCCAUUAAAAAAGGGCAUGGAACACUUUCCAAGAAAGAAAAUAAAAUUACCAUAUGAAAUUAUCAUGAGAUCCACUUAUGGAUUGCCUACCAAAGAUGGCAAUACCUAGCUCUAUCCUCGCUUUUAUGCCUAGCUAGGGGCGUUAAACGAUAGCGCUUGUUGGGACGCAACCCAAUUUUAUUUUUAUUCCUUACCUUAUGCUCCUGUUUAGUAAUAAAUAAAUUAUUUAGCCUCUGUUUUGGUUGUGUUCUUUUGUGUUUAAUUAGUGUUUGUGCCAAGUAGAACCGCUGGGAAGACUUGGGGAAAGUCUUGUUGAACUUGCUGUAAAAAACAGAAACUUUAGCGCUCACGAGAACUGCUGUAAUUUUUAUUUGAAGAGUGAUACUUAGUUAAUUCUUUUUGCAGAUGAUUAAUAGAUAAAUUCCUCACGUCCAGAAAUUUAUUUUAGAAUUUUUGGGGUUCCAGAUCUUGCGCUAGCUACAAAUUAUGACAGAUUGUUCUGUUUUUGACAUAUUCUGUUUUUCGUUGUUGUUUGCUUAUUUUGAUGAAUCUAUGGCUAGUAAAAUAGUUUAUAAUCCAUAGAGAAGUUGGAAUACAGUAGGUUUAACACAAAUAUAAAUAAAUAAUGAGUUCAUUACAGUACCUUGAAGUGGUAUUUUGUUUUCUUUCGCUAACGGAGCUCACGAGUUUUCUAUUUUGAGUUUUGUGUUGUGAAGUUUUCAAGUUUUGGGUGAAUUCUUUUGAUGGAUCAUGGAACAAGGAGUGGCAAGAGACUAAGCUUGGGGAUGACCAUGGAACCCCCAAGAUAAUCCAAGAACACCAAGAAGUCAAAGCUUGGGGAUUCCCCGGAAGGAAUCCCCUCUUUCGUCCACUUCCAUCGGUAAUUUACUUGGAGCUAUAUUUUUAUUCACCAACAUGAUAUGUGUUUUGCUUGGAGCGUCUUGUAUUAUUUGUGUCUUUGUGUUUUAGUAUGACACAAUCAUCCUUGUUGUACACACCUUUUGAGAGAGCCAUACAUGAAUUAAAAUUUGAUAGAAUACUCUAUGUGCUUCACUUAUAUCUUUUGAGCUAAGUAGUUUUGCUCUAUGUGCUUCACUUAUAUCUUUUAAGCUAGAUAAUUUUGCUCUAUGUGCUUCACUUAUAUCUUUUGAGCGUUAUAAUUUUUCUCUAUGUGCUUCACUUAGAUCUUUUAGAGCACGGUGGUGGAUUCAUUUUAAAGAAACUAUUGAUCUCUCAUGCUUCACUUAAAUUAUUUUGAGAGUCUCUUAAUAGCAUGGUAAUUUGCUUAAUAAUAAUAUGCUUGGUAUUCAAGAUUUGUGAAAGUUUCUUUUGAGUGUGUUGAAUACUAAGAACAGAUUGAAGCAUGAUAAUUGUUUUGAGAUAUGGAAGUGAUAAUAUUAAGGUCAUGCUAGUUGAGUAGUUGUGAAUUUAAAGAAUACUUGUGUUAAAGUUUGUGAUUCCCGUAGCAUGCACGUAUGGUGAACCGUUAUGUAACGAAGUCGGAGCAUGAUUUGUUUAUUGAUUGUCUUCCUUAUGAGUGGCGGUCGGGGACGAGCGAUGGUCUUUUCCUACCAAUCUAUCCCCUAGUAGCAUGCGCGUAAUACUUUAUUUUGAUAACUUCUAGAUUUUUGCAAUAAGUAUAUGAGUUCUUUAUGACUAAUGUUGAGUCCAUGGAUUAUACGCACUCUCACUCUUCCACCUUUCCUAGCCUCUCUAAUACCGCGCACCUUUCGCCGGUAUCAUACACCUACCAUAUACCUUCCUCAAAACAGCCACCAUACCUACCUAUUAUGGCAUUUCCAUAGCCAUUCCGAGAUAUAUUGCCAUGCAACUUUCCACCGUUCCGUUUAUCAUGACACACUCCAUCAUUGUCAUAUUGCAUAUCCCGGUACACCGCCGGAUGCAUUCACAUAGAGUCAUAUUUUGUUCUAAGUAUCGAGUUGUAAUUGUUGAGUUAUAUAAGAAAAAUAAAAGUGUGAUUAUCAUCAUUAUUAGAGCAUUGUCCCAGUGAGGAAAGAAUGAUGGAGACUAUGAUUCCCCCAUAAGUCGGGAUGAGACUCCGGACGAAAAAAAGAGGCCAAAGAAGCCCAAAUAAAAAGAGGCCAGAAAAAAGAGAAAAGGCCCAAACAAAUAAAUUAUAUAAAUAAUAAAAUAAUGAGGGAAAAAGAGAGAAGGGACAAUGUUACUAUCAUUUUACCACACUUGUGCUUCAAAGUAGCACCAUGAUCUUCAUAGUAGAGAGUCUCUCAUGUUAUCACUUUCAUAUACUAGUGGGAAGUUUUCAUUAUAGAACUUGGCUUGUAUAUUCCAAUGAUGGGCUUCCUCAAAAAUUGCCCUAGGUCUUCGUGAGCAAGCAAGUUGGAUGCACACCCACUUAGUUUCUUUUUGAGCUUUCAUAUACUUAUAGCUCUAGUGCACCUGUUGCAUGGCAAUCCCUACUCACUGACAUUGAUAUCUAUUGAUGGGAAUCUCCAUAGCCCGUUGAUACGCCUAGUUGAUGUGAGACCAUCUUCUCCUUUUUGUCUUCUCCACAACCACCAUUCUAUUCCACCUAUAGUGCUAUAUCCAUGGCUCACGCUCAUGUAUUGCGUGAAGAUUGAAAAAGUUUUGAAAAAGUUAGAGUAUGAAACAAUUUCUUGGCUUGUCAUCAAGGUUGUGCAUGAUUUAAAUACUUUGUGUGGUGAAGAUGGAGCAUAGCCAGACUAUAUGAUUUUGUAGGGAUAACUUUCUUUGGCCAUGUUAUUUUGAGAAGACAUAAUUACUUUAUUAGUAUGCUUGAAGUAUUAUUAUUUUUAUGUCAAUAUAAACUUUUGUCUUGAAUCUUUCUAUCUGAAUAUUCAUACCACAAUUAAGAAGAUUUGCAUUGAAAUUAUGCCAAGUAGCACUUCGCAUCAAAAAUUCUCUUUUUAUCAUUUACCUACUCGAGGACGAGUAGGAAUUAAGUUUGGGGAUGCCUGAUACGUCUCCAACGUAUCUAUAAUUUUUGAUUGCUCCAUGCUAUAUUAUCUACUGUUUUGGACUAUACUGGGCUUUAUUUUCCACUUUUAUAUUAUUUUUGGGACUAACCUAUUAAUCGGAGGCCCAGCCCAGAAUUGCUGUUUUUUUGCCUAUUUCAGUGUUUUGAAGAAACGGAAUAUCAAACGGAGUCCAAACGGAAUAAAAUCUUCGGGAACGUGAUUUUCACACCGAACGUGAUCCAGGAGACUUGGACCCUGCUCCAAGGAACAAAAGAGGCGGUCACGAGGGUGGGGGCGCCCCCCCUAUGGGGCGCCCCCUAUCUCGUGGGCCCCUCAUUGCUCCUCCGGCGUACUUCUUCCUCCUAUAUAUACACACGUACCCCCAAACAAUCAGAACAGGAGCCAAAAACCUAAUUCCACCACCGCAACUUUCUGUAUCCACGAGAUCCCAUCUUGGGGCCUGUUCCGGAGCUCCGCCGGAAGAGGGCCGUCAUCACGGAGGGCUUCUACAUCAUCCUAGCCCCUCCGAUGAAGUGUGAGUAGUUUACCUUAGACCUUCGGGUCCAUAGUUAGUAGCUAGAUGGCUUCUUCUCUCUCUUUGAAUCUCAAUACAAAGUUCUCCCCCUCUCUUGUGGAGAUCUAUUCAAUGCAAUCUUCUUUUUGCGAUGUGUUUGUUGAGACCGAUGAAUUGUGGGUUUAUGAUCAAGUCUAUCUAUGAAUAAUAUUUGAAUCUUCUUUGAUUUCUUUUAUGUAUGAUUGGUUAUCUUUGCAAGUCUCCUCGAAUUAUCCGUUUGGUUUGGCCAACUAGAUUGGUAGUUCUUGCCAUGGGAGAAGUGCUUAGCUUUGGGUUCGAUCUUAUGGUGUCGUUACCCAGUGACAGAAGGGGCAGCAAGGCACGCAUUGUAUCGUUGCCAUCGAGGAUAACAAGAUGGGGUUUAUUUCAUAUUGCAUGAAUUUAUCUCUCUACAUCAUGUCAUCUUGCUUAAGGUGUUACUAUGUUUUUAACUUAAUACUCUAGAUGCAUGCUGGAUAGCGGUCGAUGAGUGGAGUAAUAGUAGUAGAUGCAGAAUCGUUUCGGUCUACUUGUCACGGACGUGAUUCUUAUAUACAUGAUCAUGACUAGAUAUUCUCAUAACCAUGCUCAAUUCUGUCAAUUGCUCAACAGUAAUUUGUUCACCCACCGUAGAAUACUUAUGCUCUUGAGAGAAGCCACUAGUGAAACCUAUGGCCCCCGGUUCUAUUCUCAGCAUAUCAAUCUCCAUCACUUUAAUCUUGCUUUGCUUUUUACUUUGAUUUUACUUUUUACUUUGCAUCUUUAUACCAAAAAUACCAACAAUAUUAUAUCUAUCAGAUCUCACUCUCGUAAGUGACCAUGAAGGGCUUGACAACCCCUAAUCGCGUUGGUUGCGAGUAGCUAUCGCUUUGUGCAGGUACGAGGGACUUGAGCAUGGGCUCCUACUGGAUUGAUACCUUGGUUCUCAAAAACUGAGGGAAAUACUUACGCUACUCUGCUGCAUCAUCCCUUCCUCUUCGGGGAAAACCAACGCAAGCUCAAGACGUAGCAUGCCUCAGACACCUCACACUUAGUUACCUUAACAAUCCCUGUAGAUGUAUUAUGUGGUUCAUUAGGAAUCUCCCUCGCACUAGGAGACUCAAAAAACAUUAGCUCAGAACAGUAGACUCCAUAAAUGGUGAUACUCGGCAUCUGAUCUCGCAAAAUAGGGCAUGCCCCGGAGUCAUGCACCGGCUUAAGACAAGUAUCACAGAGCUCAAUCUCACACUCAGCAAUAAAGUGACCUCUCUCACCACAAUGGUAGCACAACAUCUUUUCCAUUUUUCGAGCCCACAUGAAGGCUCUCUCCUCCUCCGCCUUGUGAAUAGCCCCGGCAGCCUCCAUCUCUAUGGACUCUGGCAGCGACACGUCCGCAGACGCGAGAGCAGAUACCACUUCCAUAGCCUGCCCUGAAAGCUCCAACUCCUAGCCGGUAACUUCGGCCACCGGAUCCACCGCGACCGGAGGUGGGGGCUGGCGGUAGCGGUUCCUGCCACCGCGACCACCACGACCCCCACGAUGCCCCCGGUAACCACCUCGCCGCCUGUAGUCGGGGCCAGAUGCCCCCUCGACAAAACCUCCAGGCGGACCGUAGAAAGGCCGUUCGACUGACCCAUCUCCCUGCCAUGCGUAGCCACGCUCGCCAGCCAUAGACGAUGAGCCACGAUGUUGUCUAGCCCCAUAAGCAUUGAAACCAUCAUCACCCCACUUUCCUUGGGGCGGGCCAUUGCCACCGUGAUUAGACGUCGCCCGAGCCGCAGUCACACCUCCCUCUCCCGCAACAAGUAACAUCGGUGGGGUCUGAACAGGCACCGCGCGCUUCUGAGGUGGUCGCACCACAUAAUGCGGCGGAGGCGCCGUUUGAGGUGGCAACCACGGCACCAUAGCCGGCGAGGGCGGUCUCUGUGGAACAGCUCCGCGCCCCAUUGGCGUGGGCGUUGGCGGCCUCGGCAGAGCAGCCCCGCGUCCCGCUGGCGCCGGCGUCGGCGGCCUCGGCGGAGCAGCCCCGCGCCUCGCUGGCACCGGCGUCGGCGGCCUCGGCUGAGCUGCACCACGCCCCGCAGCCACCGGCAAAGAAGCCGCAGGCGUCGGAGGCCCGAUCCCCUGAGCAUACCGCCCGGCGGCCGGCAUCGCCCCCACCUGCAUAAGCUGCUGCCCUGACGUGGUCCCACGAUCGGCCACAACCGCAGGCCGUGGUCCCUGAGGCGCUCCACGACCAGCCGGCAGCGCCGGCCGCUGGCCAGGAGUCGCGCCGCCACCUCGGGCCUCCAGCGCCGACCCGGCGAUCGACUGGUUGUUGGGGCCGGCAGCCGCCACAUCUUCCCAACCCGCCAUCAGUGGAGGAAUGCGAGCAGCUCUCCCCGGACCAUAGCGACGGAAACCGGAAGAACCCCCGCGGCGCCGUGACCUAGGGCACAUGCGACGGCGGCCAAACGCAAAAAGACACCCGACCACACGUACGCAUGCACGAGGUAACUCAUUAGUCACUCGUGGAUCCUGAGGAGUCCGGGUUAGGCUGGGCCACAAACCCAGCUAACACCGGCCCAAUUUGAGUUGCCGCGCGAUGGGCCUCAUACCCAUCGGCAGGCCUCCCCAACUCCACCACGGCCCGAUUGAGUCCACCUAGGCCCAAGAGCGAAUUCAAACGCUUAGCCCUGUCGGCUCGGAUCUCGAUCGGACCUCCGGUAGCCUCGAUUUCUUUCUUCUUGUGACAACCUUCCAUGCCCCGGCCUCAAGAAAAUCAGACAAGGUAGGUUUAGGGCAUCUCCAGCCGUUGGCCCCCCAUGACGCAUAAAAAUCGCCCCCUGGGGGCGAGCCGGCGAUACAAUCGGCGCUGGGGGCGGUUUUGCGCCCAGUCGUCGCCCUCAGCUCGCCCCCAGGCGAUGAAAUUGGCCCACUUUGCAGCCCAAUUUCGGCGAAUAAAGGGCCCAUAUAGGCGAGAAUAGGCCCAUAUUCGGCGUGGUUUCGCCGUGUCUCGGCGUUCAAUUAUCAACACAAUUAUUUCUUAUCACAUAUUUCAUCACAGAAAAAUCAAAUACUUCAACAAAAUAGUACAACAACAAAUAGUUCAAUACAAAUUAUAUAGUUCAACAAAUAAAAACUCGUAUUUCAUCACACGGCGUCCCCCUUGAGCCUCCAUAGGUGCUCAAUCAGAUCUUUCUGCAAUUGAUGAUGCACCUGUGGGUCUCGGAUCUCCUGACGCAUACUGAGAUAGGCAGUCCAAGUUGCCGGUAGCUGGUGAUCAACUUCGGCUAGAGGACCCUGCCUGUAGUAUGGUUCAGUGUCAAACACUGGGUCUUCUUGCUCGCUCUCGAUGAUCAUGUUGUGCAAGAUGACACAGCAAGUCAUCAUCUCCCACAUUUGAUCUUUGGACCAGGUCUGAGCGGGGUACCGAACAACAGCAAAUCGAGAUUGGAGCACACCAAAUUCCCGCUCGACAUCCUUCCUGCAAGCCUCCUGAAGCUUCGCAAACCAGGCGUUCUUGCCUCCUGCCACAGGGUUUGAGAUUGUCUUCACAAAUGUCGACCAUCUCGGAUAGAUGCCGUCAGCUACAUAGUACCCCUUGUUGUAUUGGUGCCCAUUGAUCUCGAAGUUCACCGGAGGAGAAUGGCCCUCAACGAGCUUGGCAAAAAUAGAAGAGCACUGCAACACGUUGAUGUCAUUGUGAGUUCCUGGCAUACCAAAGAAGGAGUGCCAAAUUCAGAGGUCCUGUAUGGCUACCGCCUCAAGCACCACACUGCAACCGCCUUUGGCGCCUUUGUACAUCCCCUGCCAACCAAAUGGGCAAUUCUUCCAUUUCCAAUGCAUGCAGUCGAUGCUUCCAAGCAUCCCAGGAAAUCCUCUUGCUGCAUUCUGGGCUAGGAUCCGAGCAGUAUCUUCCACAUUGGGUGUUCUCAAGUAUUGUGGCCCAAACACUGCCACCACUGCCUGACAGAACUUGUAGAAACACUCUAUGCUGGUGGACUCGUCCAUGCGCCCAUAGUCCUCGAGUGAAUCACCGGGAGCUCCAUAUGCAAGCAUCCUCAUCGCUGUCGUGCACUUCUGGAUGGAGGUGAAUCCAAGAGCGCCAGUGCAAUCCAUCUUGCACUUGAAGUAGUUUUCGAACUCUCGGAUGGAAUUCACAAUCAGCUCAUCCGAUAACGGCGCCGAAAUGUUCUCUCGCCAUGAAGUGGAGCAUCGGCGAAGUAGUCGGAGUAGAGCAUGCAGUAGCCUUGGAGACGAUGCCGGUUCUUUGCUUUCAUCCGCCCCGGCGCCGAGCCACCUCGCCCCGGCUUUUCAUUACUCGCCAGCAGCUGGGCGAGGGCGGCGAGCACCACGAGAUGCUCUUCUUCCUGGACGUCGGCCGCGGCUUCCUCCUCCAGCAGCGCGGCGAGCUCUUCCUCCUCAUCCGAGUCCAUCGCCGAGGCAGGCAAAACGCCGAACACCUUGCGCUCGGUGGGCGUGUACCCGCCGUUAAACCGCGCCUCCGCGGCUGGAAACGGCGGCCGAAAACGCCCAGCUGCUGUGGGUGGGGCUGCCGCGGCGAAGCGCUGCUAUUUUCCGGCGGGGAAUGGCUAUCUAGCGGAGUAGGGCGGCGGCCGUCGCCGGGAUAUAGCUAGUGGUGGCCGAGGGCGCGGGGGGUGCGAGGCGAGUCUGGAGAAGAAAACCUUGACUUUUCCCCUGUCGGUGUGGGCCAGGCGUGCUUUUCCCUAGCACCGGAGCCCCCAACUGCUCCCUAGCGCGCCGGAUUCGGCCUGUGACCGCCGGGCGGAAAAAAAGGUCCGAACCGGCGAUUUUCGGCGUCCUGGGGGCGCGACUGGGCCGUUUUUUCGGCGCCGGCGCUGAAAAAGUGGCUUGGGGGCCUGUUGGGGGCGCGGCUGGAAAUGCCCUUAGGGAGACAUACCUUCGGAAAUGGACCACGCCAAGGCCGGAUCGCCGUCGCCGUACGCCGGUGAACCACCCGGCGGACAAUCUCAACCGCAUCCGCACAUCCCUGCUGGGCCGGGUCAUCCAUGAGGAUCGCCAAAUCCACUAGGUUCGCCGCAUCUUGCUCCGAGUAGCCGAUGCGAAGUGCUUCGCAGAUCGCAUCAGAUGGUGUAAGAGAACUCACCGGUGACAGGUCGCCGCCGGGGUCCCCGUCGUCGUCUUCCUCGUCGCCGGCGUCGCUGCAUAGGGCCCAAAAGCGGCCUCCUACCCGCUGCCCUCCGAAGGGCGCGGAUCCACCCGGCGUCGCCCGCGUCGCCAUCACCCAAUCUCCUUAAUACUGUUCUGUGACGUACUGAGAUAAUUAGAUGCAGGGACAAAUCCUACUUCCUCGCCCCGCCGCCCUCCCGGUUAAGCAGAGCCGACGAGCAUGAAUUUCGGCGCCCUCUAUUUUGGCAUGGUUGGGCCCGGGUAACUGACCACUGCAACGGGCUCCUCCUCCUCUAUAACGAAAGACAGGACGAUACAUACGUGUGCAACCCGGCUACAAUACGGUGCGUUCCCCUGCCCCCCUCACCGCAGACGCAGAUGCGGUCGGGCCGCAGAGGAAUCGAGGGCACGUUCCUUGCUUUCGGCCCGGGUGUGUCACUGCACUACAAGGUGUACAAGCUGCUCAAGGAUCGUGAUACCUACUCUACUCAUAAGCCAUCGUCCAAGGAGCCAAGGGCCAAGGUGGUGUACUCAGCAGCGGUGUUCUCGUCACAAUAUAGACAAUGGAAGUUGCGCAAGUUUAAUCCAGGACGUUGCGCCCCUGGGCACCUCCACAAUGUGAAGGGUUCUGCAUGUGAUAGUAAUUGGCCGUCGGCUCGCGAGAAUGGUGUCGUCAUUAUCCUGCACUACUCGAAGAUGACGUACGAUAUGGUUCAGCUCCCGGGAGAUGUCUACAACUACGCAGGGAAGACGUAUCAGCUACCUCGAAGGUCCCUCUUGGCGAACUAUGAGAACUAGUUACCUCGAAGAUGACGUACGCAGGCAAGAUCGUGCGAUGACCAACUUGGGUGGACGCUAGCACACGAGGCUAACGUCAGCCCGCACGUGUAUAUGAUGCGGCAUAACUCACGGACACUAGAACAAAGGGUUAGAUGGGAGAUGGUCGCAAGCAGCAAAGCACCUGUCAGCUUGUUCGAACAAAUUAGUAGCAGCAAGGAAAGCAAAGAAGAAGAAGAAGAAGAAGAAGAAGAAGAAGAAGAAGAAGAAGAAGAACUAUAUAUGGAACGAGGACAAGGACAAUUUCGUCGAAGUUGAUAAAAGUGUCGCAGGUCAAAGGAAACUGGAGCAGACCUACGGGGAAAAAAAUUAUAUGAGACCAGGUCUCACGGUUAGCAGGUGAGACCCGUCCUGAUGAAUGNNNNNNNNNNNNNNNNNNNNNNNNNNNNNNNNNNNNNNNNNNNNNNNNNNNNNNNNNNNNNNNNNNNNNNNNNNNNNNNNNNNNNNNNNNNNNNNNNNNNNNNNNNNNNNNNNNNNNNNNNNNNNNNNNNNNNNNNNNNNNNNNNNNNNNNNNNNNNNNNNNNNNNNNNNNGUGGGGGAUGCUUUGUGAUUUGUGAAUGCCAUAUGUCAUUCAUCAGGAUGGGUCUCGCGUGAGACCUGGUCUCAUAGAAUUCUUUUCCAACCUAAGGUGGUAUCAUUGGACUCCAUCCGCACAAAGACAUGCUCCUCCUUGAUAUGGCGGCAAAGCAGUUGCAUACCACAUUAACCCCUCAAGAAUGCAAUAUUUAUGCCAGUUGCUUUUAAGAGAACCCAUGGACCGUGAUGCUGGCAUCAAAAGUGCCUUUCCUUACCGCCCUUGCUACACGGACGUGCUCCUGGCAAGAAAAAUACCAUGUCCUUCCAAUGUCCUUAAUUUGUGGCACCGUCAUAGAAGAUGCUAGCAGUACAACCAUCGGUGACUCUCAAGUGAAUCUAGUGAAAAUUACGGAAAUUCGCAGGGGCACGCACCUGCCAAGACUGCUGCCCGCUUGAUUUGCCUCGUGAUUCACGCAGUAGUUCAAAGUGUUAAUGACGACACUUACAAUUUUUGUAUAUUAAACUGUUAAGUUUCAACAAGUUCAGAGAUAUAAUUUUAAGCAAUUUUUGCUGUCGGUCGUAGACAAAAAAUAAUUGAUUCUAAAAAGUAAUUGAUUCUAGCUCGUACUAAGUUUCAACAUUGGAACUUAACAUAUUUUCUAAAAAGUCAUCAAAAUAUAUUCAGAAUGAUUCUUAUUUGAAAACUCUAGUUAUGAGGAGCACGAAUAUGAAAACAUAACUAAAUUUGGAUUUUUUUUGUUUGAAAGAUAUAGAAUUUUGAAAAUCAGGAGCCAAAAUAAAGAGCCGGCACCAGGGACCUCGGUGCUCCUGUACUUGGGUGCCGCAAAUCCUCUUCCGUGAAAUUCGUCAAUCACUCAUACAAGUCUUUAUUGUACUUUCAACUGCUUUUCUAUACACCAGGAUAGUGUUUUAUUGAACUUGAUGGGCACAAAUUUCAGGGAUCCUUGCCCGCUAAAUAUGUCUAGAAGCCGUGCAUUUGAGGCUCAACGGGAGCAAACUAUUAAAACAUAUAUGGUCACUUGUAAAGGAUGUUUGAGCUUUUAGAUGUUGGGCUCAACUAGUUGAUGACCAAUACCUCUGUCGGCUGAGGGUGUUCCUCUAAUAAGCGUCAUGGCCAUAUACAUGGACUAACAAUCAGGCGCACCCAACUCUGGAGAAACUGGACCGGAUUUUGAUAUCUGAAGACUGGGAAAAUCUCUUCCCUAUGGUUUCGGUUAGGAAAUUAGUUCGAGAAAUUUCUGACCAUAAACCAGUGCUGCUUUCUAGUGGGGAGGAAAGUAGAGAAGCUCCUAAACCUCGUGAGUUUCGUUUUAAUCUUGCCUGGAUUAAGGAUGAGAACUUCUUGCCUACUGUUAGUAGGAUCUGGGCUAGAAGGGUUCAGUCUUCUGACCCUAUUGAUAUCUUGAAUAUCAAACUUAAAAGAUUCAAAACCUACUUCAAAGGUUGGGGAUCGGAUAAAUAUGGCCACGACAAAAAAAGAAAAGAAGAGCUCCGGAUGGAGCUGGCCAUGCUAGAAGAGCUAGAAGAAGAUGGUCCCUUGUCCCCUGAGCUAUACAACAUCAAGGUUGAUGUUAGUACCGAGCUUCAUGACAUACUGGUGAAUGAGGAGAUAUAUUGGCUCCAACAGUCUCAUGAACGCUGGCUCUUAACACAGACUAUUAUCAUAAAAUUGCAAAUGGCCGAAAGAGGAAGAACACAAUCCACUCCCUUAAAGCUGGGGAUGCGGAGAUCGAGGGCACUGACAAUCUGAUUGCUCAUGCCACGGAGUAUUACAAAAAUAUGUUCGGACCCGGGUCCGGUAAUCUGUUCCACCUUGAUCCUGACACUUGGUCUGUUGAGGAAAAGCUCGAUGCUAGUGAUAAUGCUGAUUUGUGCCAUGAGUUCAUGGAGGAAGAUAUCAAGGAGGCGUUGUUCUCUAUGGCACAUAAUAGAGCCCCUGGCCCUGACAAUAUUCCUGUUGAAUUCUAUCAGGUAUGCUGGGAUAUCAUUAAAGAUGAUCUUGUGAGGCUUUUUGUGAGCUUUCAUAAUGGGACUUUGGAUGUUCAACGUCUUAACUAUGGGGUGAUCACCCUUUUGCCCAAGUCUUCGGGCGCGGAUAAAAUCCAGCAAUUUAGACCUAUAUGUCUCCUAAGAUGUCCAUAUAAGCUUAUUACUGAAGUUUUGGAUCGGCGAGUGGAGAGGUACGCUGAUAAGCUCAUUAGCUCGACCCAAAAUGCUUUUAUCAAGGGAAGAAGCAUUAUGGACGGGGUGUUGUUGCUGCAUGAAAUUUUGAAUUAUACCCAUGUGAAAAAGAGGGUGGGGGUCGUCUUGAAGCUCGACUUUGAGAAAGCGUACGAUAAGGUGAACUGGGAAUUUUUGUUGGAAUGUCAUAAGCUUCGUGGUUUUAGUGACACGUGGUGCAACUGGAUUAAACAUAUCCUACUCAAUGGUACAGUUAGUAUCAAACUUAAUAAUCAGGUCGGUCCUUAUUUCCAGAGUGCUAAGGGUGUUCGACAAGGGGAUCCCCACUCCCCUUUCCUGUUUAAUCUAGUUGUUGAUUGUCUUGCGAAGAUGAUCUCCAAUGCCCAAAAUAAUAACUUGCUGGUGGGUUUGGCUUCGGAUCUUAUUCCUAAUGGAGUUGCGGUGCUCCAGUAUGCAGACGAUACUAUUAUCUGUCUGGAACACGAUGUUGAUAAGGCAGUAAACCUGAAGUUGCUGCUGUACAUCUUCGAGCUUAUGUCUGGUCUUAAAGUGAACUAUCAGAAAAGUGAGAUCUUCACUGUGGGGGGCGAUGAGAGCACGAUGAAAUACUAUGCUGAGUUGUUUAACUGUGAUGUGGGUAGCUUCCCCAUCAAAUACCUCGGCAUGCCUGUUAGUUAUUCCACACUUAGAGAUUCUGAUUGGGAGUUCAUAGUGAAGGAAAUAUGCCCUAGAGGCAAUAAUAAAGUUAUUAUUUAUUUCCUUAUAUCAUGAUAAAAGUUUAUUAUUCAUGCUAGAAUUGUAUUAACCGGAAACAUAAUACAUGUGUGAAUACAUAGACAAACAGAGUGUCACUAGUAUGCCUCUACUAGACUAGCUUGUUAAUCAAAGAUGGUUAUGUUUCCUAACCAUGGACAAAGAGUUGUCAUUUGAUUAACAGGAUCACAUCAUUAGUUGAAUGAUCUGAUUGACAUGACCCAUUCCAUUAGCUUAGCACCCGAUCGUUUACUAUGUUGCUAUUGCUUUCUUCAUGACUUAUACAUGUUCCUAUGACUAUGAGAUUAUGCAACUCCCGUUUGCCAGAGGAACACUUUGUGUGCUACCAAACGUCACAACGUAACUGGGUGAUUAUAAAGGAGCUCUAUAGGUGUCUCCAAAGGUACAUGUUGGGUUGGCGUAUUUCAAGAUUAGGAUUUGUCACUCCGAUUGUCGGAGAGGUAUCUUUGGGCCCUCUCAGUAAUGCACAUCACUUAAGCCUUGCAAGCAUUGCAACUAAUGAGUUAGUUGCGCGAUGAUGUAUUACAGCACGAGUAAAGAGACUUGCCGGUAACGAGAUUGAACUAGGUAUAGGAUACCGACGAUCGAAUCUCGGGCAAGUAACAUACCGAUGACAAAUGGAACAACGUAUGUUGUUAUGCGGUCUGACCGAUAAAAGAUCUUCGUAGAAUAUGUAGGAGCCAAUAUGAGCAUCCAGGUUCCACUAUUGGUUAUUGAUCGGAGACGUGUCUCGGUCAUGUCUACAUUGUUCUCGAACCCGUAGGGUCCGCACGCUUAAGGUGACGAUGACAGUUAUAUUAUGAGUUUAUGCAUUUUGAUGUACCGAAGUUUGUUCGGAGUCCCGGAUGUGGUCACGGACAUGACGAGGAGUCUCGAAAUGGUCGAGACAUAAAAUUGAUAUAUUGGAAGCCUAUAUUUGGAUAUCGGAAGUGUUCCGGGUGAAAUCGGGAUUUUACCGGAGUACCGGGAGGUUACCGGAACCCCCAGGAGGUACAUGGGCCUUAAUGGGCCUUAGUGGAAGAAGAGGAGAGGCGGCCAGGGUUGGGCCGCGCGCCCCUCCCCCCUAGUCCGAAUAGGACAAGGAGAGAGGGGGCCGGCACCCCCUUCCUUCUCUCUCUCUCUUUUCCCACCUCGCGAAUCCUAUUCCAACUAGGAUUGGGGGAGAAGUCCUACUCCCGGGGGGAGUAGGACUCCUCCUGGCGCGCCCUAUGAUGGCCGGCCGGCCUCCCCCUCUUGAACCUUUAUAUACGGAGGCAGGGGCACCCCUAGACACAGAAGUUGAUCCACGUGAUCAUACUCUUAGCCGUGUGCGGUGCCCCCUUCCACCAUAGACCUCGAUAAUAUUGUAGCAGUGCUUAGGCGAAGCCCUGCGACGGUAGUGCAUCAAGAUCGUCACCACGCCGUCGUGCUGACGGAACUCUUCCCCGACACUUUGCUGGAUCGGAGUCCAGGGAUCGUCAUCGAGUUGAACGUGUGCUAGAACUCGAAGGUGCCGUAGUUUCGGUGCUUGAUCGGCCGGGCCGUGGAGACGUACGACUACAUCAACCAAACGCUUCCGUUGUCGAUCUACAAGGGUACGUAGAUCAUACUCUCCCCUCUCGUUGCUAUGCAUCACCAUGAUCUUGCGUGUGCGUAGGAAAUUUUUUGAAAUUACUACGUUCCCCAACAGUUGCAUCCGAGCCUAGGUUUUAUAUGUUGAUGUUAUAUGCACGAGUAGAACACAAGUGAGUUGUGGGCGAUAUAAGUCAUACUGCUUACCAGCAUGUCAUACUUUGGUUCAGCGGUAUUGUUGGACGAAGCGGCCCGGACCGACAUUACGCGUACGCUUACGCGAGACCGGUUCUCCCGAUGUGCUCUGCACAUAGGUGGCUUGCGGGUGACAGUUUCUCCAACUUUAGUUGAACCAAGUGUGGCUACGCCCGGUCCUUGCGAAGGUUAAAACAGCACCAACUUGACAAACUAUCGUUGUGGUUUUGAUGCGUAGGUAAGAUUGGUUCUUGCUUAAGCCCGUAGCAGCCACGUAAAACAUGCAACAACAAAGUAGAGGACGUCUAACUUGUUUUUGCAGGGCAUGUUGUGAUGUAAUAUGGUCAAGACAUGAUGCUAAAUUUUAUUGUAUGAGAUGAUCAUGUUUUGUAACCGAGUUAUCGGCAACUGGCAGGAGCCAUAUGGUUGUCGCUUUAUUGUAUGCAAUGCAAUCGCGCUGUAAUGCUUUACUUUAUCACUAAGCGGUAGCGAUAGUCGUGGAAGCAUAAGAUUGGCGAGAUGACAACGAUGCUACGAUGGAGAUCAAGGUGUCGCGCCGGUGACGAUGGUGAUCAUGAUGGUGCUUCGAAGAUGGAUAUCACAAGCACAAGAUGAUGAUGGCCAUAUCAUAUCACUUAUAUUGAUUGCAUGUGAUGUUUAUCUUGCUUUGAUUGACGGUAGCAUUAUAAGAUGAUCUCUCACUAAAUUAUCAAGAAGUGUUCUCCCUGAGUAUGCACCGUUGCGAAAGUUCUUCGUGCUGAGACACCACGCGAUGAUCGGGUGUGAUAGGCUCUACGUUCAAAUACAACGGGUGCAAAACAGUUGCACAUGCGGAAUAUUCAGGUUAUACUUGACGAGCCAAGCAUAUACAGAUAUGGCCUCGGAACACGGAGACCGAAAGGUCGAGCGUGAAUCAUAUAGUAGAUAUGAUCAACAUAGUGAUGUUCACCAAUGAAACUACUCCAUCUCACGUGAUGAUCGGACAUGGUUUAGUUGAUUUGGAUCACGUAAUCACUUAGAGGAUUAGAGGGAUGUCUAUCUAAGUGGGAGUUCUUUAAGUAAUAUGACUAAUUGAACCUAAAUUUAUCAUGAACUUAGUACCUGAUAGUAUCUUGCUUGUUUAUGUAUGAUUGUAGAUAAAUGGUUCGUGUUGUUGUUCCGUUGAAUUUUAAUGCGUUCCUUGAGAAAGCAAAGUUGAAAGAUGAUGGUAGCAAUUACACGGACUGGGUCCAUAACUUGAGGAUUAUCCUCAUUGCUGCACAGAAGAAUUACGUCCUGGAAGCACCGCUGGGUGCCAGGCCUGCUGCUGGAGCAACACUAGAUGUUGUGAACGUCUGGCAAAGCAAAGCUGAUGACUACUCGAUAGUUCAGUGUGCCAUGCUUUACGGCUUAGAACCGGGACUUCAACGACGUUUUGAACGUCAUGGAGCAUAUGAUAUGUUCCAGGAGUUGAAGUUAAUAUUUCAAGCAAAUGCCCGGAUUGAGAGAUAUGAAGUCUCCAAUAACUUCUAUAGCUGCAAGAUGGAGGAGAAUAGUUCUGUCAGUGAGCAUAUACUCAAAAUGUCUGGGUAUAAUAAUCACUUGAUUCAAAUGGGAGUUAAUCUUCCAGAUGAUUGCGUCAUUGACAGAAUUCUCCAAUCACUGCCACCAAGCUACAAGAGCUUCGUGAUGAACUAUAAUAUGCAAGGGAUGAAUAAGACUAUUCCCGAGCUCUUCGCAAUGUUGAAAGCUGCGGAGGUAGAAAUCAAAAAGGAGCAUCAAGUGUUGAUGGUCAACAAGACCACUAGUUUCAAGAAAAAGGGCAAAGGGAAGAAGAAGGGGAACUUCAAGAAGAAUAGCAAGCAAGUUGCUGCUCAAGAGAAGAAACCCAAGUCUGGACCUAAGCCUGAAACUGAGUGCUUCUACUGCAAGCAGACUGGUCACUGGAAGCAGAACUGCCCCAAGUAUUUGGCGGAUAAGAAGGAUGUCAAGGUGAACAAAGGUAUAUGUGAUAUACAUGUUAUUGAUGUGUACCUUACUAAUGCUCGUAGUAGCACCUGGGUAUUUGAUACUGGUUCUGUUGCUAAUAUUUGCAACUCGAAACAGGGACUACGGAUUAAGCGAAGAUUGGCUAAGGACGAGGUGACGAUGCGCGUGGGAAACGGUUCCAAAGUCGAUGUGAUCGCGGUCGGCACGCUACCUCUACAUCUACCUUCGGGAUUAAUAUUAGACCUAAAUAAUUGUUAUUUGGUGCCAGCGUUAAGCAUGAACAUUAUAUCUGGAUCUUGUUUGAUGCCAGACGGUUAUUCAUUUAAAUCAGAGAAUAAUGGUUGUUCUAUUUAUAUGAGUAAUAUCUUUUAUGGUCAUGCACCCUUGAAGAGUGGUCUAUCCUUAUUGAAUCUCGGUAGUAGUAACACACAUAUUCAUAAUGUUGAAGCCAAAAGAUGCAGAGUUGAUAAUGAUAGUGCAACUUAUUUGUGGCACUGCCGUUUAGGUCAUAUCGGUGUAAAGCGCAUGAAGAAACUCCAUACUGAUGGACUUUUGGAACCACUUGAUUAUGAAUCAAUUGGUACUUGCGAACCGUGCCUCAUGGGCAAGAUGACUAAAACGCCGUUCUCCGGUACUAUGGAGAGAGCAACAGAUUUGUUGGAAAUCAUACAUACAUAUGUAUGUGGUCCGAUGAAUAUUGAGGCUCGUGGAGGAUAUCGUUAUUUUCUCACCUUCACAGAUGAUUUAAGCAGAUAUGGGUAUAUCUACUUAAUGAAACAUAAGUCUGAAACAUUUCAAAAGUUCAAAGAAUUUCAGAGUGAAGUUGAAAAUCAUCGUAACAAGAAAAUAAAGUUUCUACGAUCUGAUCGUGGAGGAGAAUAUUUAAGUUAUGAGUUUGGUGUACAUUUGAAACAAUGCGGAAUAGUUUCGCAACUCACGCCACCCGGAACACCACAGCGUAAUGGUGUGUCCGAACGUCGUAAUCGUACUUUACUAGAUAUGGUGCGAUCUAUGAUGUCUCUUACUGAUUUACCGCUAUCGUUUUGGGGUUAUGCUUUGGAGACGGCCGCAUUCACGUUAAAUAGGGCACCAUCAAAAUCCGUUGAGACGACGCCUUAUGAACUAUGGUUUGGCAAGAAACCAAAGUUGUCGUUUCUGAAAGUUUGGGGCUGCGAUGCUUAUGUGAAAAGCUUCAACCUGAUAAGCUCGAACCCAAAUCGGAGAAAUGUGUCUUCAUAGGAUAUCCAAAGGAGACUAUUGGAUACACCUUCUAUCACAGAUCCGAAGGCAAAACUUUUGUUGCUAAGUUCGGAAACUUUCUAGAGAAGGAGUUUCUCUCGAAAGAAGUGAGUGGGAGGAAAGUAGAACUUGACGAGGUAACUGUACCUGCUCCCUUAUUGGAAAGUAGUGCAUCACAGAAAACUGUUUCUGUGACACCUACACCAAUUAGUGAGGAAGCUAAUGAUAAUGAUCAUGAAACUUCAGAACAAGAUACUACUGAACCUCGUAGAUCAACCAGAGUGAGAUCCGCACCAGAGUGGUACGGUAAUCCUGUUCUGGAAGUCAUGCUACUAGAUCAUGAUGAACCUACAAACUAUGAAGAAGCGAUGGUGAGCCCAGAUUCCGCAAAAUGGCUUGAAGCCAUGAAAUCUGAGAUGGGAUCCAUGUAUGAGAACAAAGUAUGGACUUUGGUUGACUUGCCCAAUGAUCGGCAAGCAAUUGAGAAUAAAUGGAUCUUCAAGAAGAAGACUGACGCCGACGGUAAUAUAAUUGUCUACAAAGCUCGACUUGUCGCAAAAGGGUUUCGACAAGUUCAAGGGAUUGGCUACGAUGAGACCUUCUCACCCGUAGCGAUCCUUAAGUCUGUCCGAAUCAUGUUAGCAAUAGCCGCAUUUUAUGAUUAUGAAAUUUGGCAGAUGGAUGUCAAAACUGCGUUCCUGAAUGGAUUUCUGGAAGAAGAGUUGUAUAUGAUGCAACCGGAAGGUUUUGUCGAUCCAAAGGGAGCUAACAAAGUGUGCAAGCUCCAGCGAUCCAUUUAUGGACUGGUGCAAGCCUCUCGGAGUUGGAAUAAACGCUUUGAUAGUGUGAUCAAAGCAUUUGGUUUUAUACAGACUUUUGGAGAAGCCUGUAUUUACAAGAAAGUGAGUGGGAGCUCUGUAGCAUUUCUGAUAUUAUAUGUGGAUGACAUAUUACUGAUUGGAAAUGAUAUAGAAUUUCUGGAUAGCAUAAAGGGAUACUUGAAUAAGAGUUUUUUAAUGAAAGACCUCGGUGAAGCUGCUUACAUAUUAGGCAUAAAGAUCUAUAGAGAUAGAUCGAGACGUUUAAUUGGACUUUCACAAAGCACAUACCUUGAAAAGAUUUUGAAGAAGUUCAAAAUGGAUCAAGCAAAGAAAGGGUUCUUGCCUGUGUUACAAGGUGUGAAGUUGAGUCGGACUCAAUGCCCGACCACUGCAGAAGAUAGAGAGAAGAUGAAAGAUGUUCCCUAUGCUUCAGGCAUAGGCUCUAUCAUGUAUGCAAUGCUGUGUACCAGACCUGGUGUGUGCCUUGCUAUAAGUCUAGCAGGGAGGUACCAAAGUAAUCCAGGAGUGGAUCACUGGACAGCGGUCAAGAACAUCCUGAAAUACCUGAAAAGGACUAAAGAUAUGUUUCUCAUAUAUGGAGGUGACAAAGAACUCAUUGUAAAAGGUUACGUUGAUGCAAGCUUUGACACUGAUCCGGACGAUUCUAAAUCGCAAACCGGAUACGUGUUUACAUUAAACGGUGGAGCUGUCAGUUGGUGCAGUUCUAAACAAAGCGUCCUAGCGGGAUCUACAUGUGAAGCGGAGUACAUAGCUGCUUCGGAAGCAGCAAAUGAAGGAGUCUGGAUGAAGGAGUUCAUAUCCGAUCUAGGUGUCAUACCUAGUGCAUCGGGUCCAAUGAAAAUCUUUUGUGACAAUACUGGUGCAAUUGCCUUGGCAAAGGAAUCUAGAUUUCACAAGAGAACCAAGCACAUCAAGAGACGCUUCAAUUCCAUCCGAGAUCUAGUCCAGGUGGGAGACAUAGAGAUUUGCAAGAUACAUACGGAUCUGAAUGUGGCAGACCCGUUGACUAAGCCUCUUCCACGAGCAAAACAUGAUCAGCACCAAGACUCCAUGGGUGUUAGAAUCACUACUGUGUAAUCUAGAUUAUUGACUCUAGUGCAAGUGGGAGACUGAAGGAAAUAUGCCCUAGAGGCAAUAAUAAAGUUAUUAUUUAUUUCCUUAUAUCAUGAUAAAUGUUUAUUAUUCAUGCUAGAAUUGUAUUAACCGGAAACAUAAUACAUGUGUGAAUACAUAGACAAACAGAGUGUCACUAGUAUGCCUCUACUUGACUAGCUCGUUAAUCAAAGAUGGUUAUGUUUCCUAACCAUGAACAAAGAGGUGUCAUUUGAUUCGAGGCGUGGAUCGGUAAUGCUGCAUCCAUGGGGGGGCAGACUAAUUUUGUUGGACUCAGUUGUCACCCAAAUAUCCUUAUAUCAUAUGUCUAUGUGGCUUAUGAGCAAAACCUUCAUUGAAAAACUUGAUAAACAUAGAAGGAAAUUCUUUUGGCAAGGUUGUAACAAGAAAAGGAGGUAUGAUUUGGUCAAAUGGGGUAGAAUAUGUAGAUCUCGAGAUAAAGGUGGCCUGGGAGUUAAAGAUCUUCGUAAACAAAACAUUAGUUUGAUGGUCAAAUGGUGGUGGAAACUCGAGACCCAAAAUGGCCUUUGGCAAAAAAUCGUCCGUGCCCGUUAUUUGAAAAAAAAGAAGUGUGGCUACGGUUGAACCCAGGUUCAAUGAUUCUCCGUGCUGGAAAGCCCUUCUUAAAGUUAAGGCCAUGUAUAUGACUGGUAGAAAGAUCAAAACGGAAUCAGGAGAUCUAACUAGAGUGUGGAAAGACUCUAUUAAUAGGUCUAGACCAUUCCAGGACUGUUAUCCCCUGCUGUUUGGCAUAUGCACUGAGCAGGACUGCACUGUCGCAAAAGUCAAAGCUGUGACUCCCAACACCUUCUUUAGAAGAAGGCUUACCCCUGAUCUUCAGAGGCAAUGGGAGGAUAUGAGGAAAUAUAUUGACAGUAUACAGCUGGGAGUAGGGGGGACCAAGUAUACUGGGGGCUAAAUGGUAAUGGUAGAUUUCUACGAAAUCUAUGUACAAAUGGCUAGAAAACCCUCUUAGUGGUUGUCACUAUAGAUGGAUUUAGAAGGCCAAGAUCCCCCUCAAAAUCAAAAUUUUCCUGUGGCAGCUAUCUCAGGAUGUUGUCUUGACUAGGCAAGUUAUGAAGGAGAGGAGAUGGCAUGGGGAUCCCAAAUGCUCCUUUUGUGACAAUAUUGAAUCAUCCCGGCAUUUGUUUUUCACUUGUCCUGUGGCUAAAGUGGUGUGGCGUUGUGUUGGGAUAGCUUUAGGGACGGACCUCUGUCCAAACAGUUACUGGCAAUAUUUCUCCUGGUGCCAUACUUUCCUUCCCUAUGGGAAGAAAUACUAUACUGUUGGCCUGGCGGCCGUUUGCUGGGCUAUCUAGUUGGCUAGAAAUCGAGCCAGCUUUGAGAAGAAACAGAUUAAGACACCGUUUUGAGAUUGUGUUUUUCGUGUGCUCCUUUUUGCUAUAUUAGGCAGGUCUUCAGCAAGGUGAUGGAGUCAAGGAGCUGCGCAGUGGGGCGGCGAUGGUCAGGUCAAGCACUAUGUGCAUGAUGAAGAUGUGCGAGGCGGCGAGGAGACCGAUCGAGGGAGAAUGAUCUCGCAAUCUCGCCUGCUUUCAGAGUUGCUGCUGUCGUUUCCAGCUGAUGUCCGUUUUCUAUUUGGCUCUUGUGAUGAGCUUUUGGCUGUAAUAGACUAUAGUAUUUCAGGUUGUCGUUGAACUAUGGUGUUGUCAGGUUUUCGCCCCAUGGCGUUCGUUUCGAUGUCGGGCGAAUGCAGUAGGUUUCCUGGCAGUGCCCGAACUCGCUGCACCUCUUUCCCUUUUCUCCUGUUUGUUUCUCGGAACAAUGUAUUUCCGUUCAUUUGCAAUGGAAAGGGGUCAUGCCCGGUUCGAAAAAAAAAUCAUUUAUUUUCUUUCUUUCGUUCUUUCUUUAUGGCAGAAUACUCAUAGAGCUGAGAUAGCAGCUCCCACUCUAGGAUCAUCAUAUAAACUGACCAUCAUCUUCUGAAGAUGCUUUCGGUUUGUUUGGAUAUUGGAUGUUCUACUCUCGGGUGUACUACACACCCGAGGUUGCAAAAACCUUUAAAAAUGCGAUCAAACCUAAUACAAAAAAUCUGAAAAUUUGAGACAUCCAUCUUUAUCAAAUGUUUGAGCAUCUUGCAAAUUUCAACCAAAAAAAACAUCCGAGGAGCUUUCACUGAAAAAAAAAAAA